RNAcentral lists this long non-coding RNA (48242 nucleotides) under Triticum aestivum (bread wheat). RNAcentral describes it as "long non-coding RNA (TAES_LNC003721)". Lineage: Eukaryota; Viridiplantae; Streptophyta; Magnoliopsida; Poales; Poaceae. The record is from RNAcentral.
CUGGCCAUGGCGGAGGCGCCGCAGAACGUCAACUCCGUCGUCAACGUCGUCGCCAACCUGCAGCAGCAGAACCUCCGGGUCGUCUUCGACGUCGCCAACUCGCGCGUCGGCUUCGCCCGGGAGUCCUGCAACUAGUUCCCACGAGGCGACCUUUCUUCACGUGUUCGUGCGGUUAUAAUCGAAUCAUUAGCCAUGCAUUUGGGUGUACGUACGUACGUACUACGUGUGAUUGUUAAUUUGCGGCUUAGUAUUUUUCAGUGUGUGCAAUAAGGAAUGUGGCAUCAAAGUUUGUCACGGGUGGGUGCGCGUGUGUUGUGCUGUACUACGUGUCGAUAGAACUAGAGAAUUACUGUAGUACUGGUCGUAACUAUUUACUGGUGUGAUGUGUGGUGCAUUUAAUUAACUUGUUUGUUUCGUUUGGCUGUUGCGCAAGGUGUACGUACGUUCGAGACUUUCACGCUGCACAUACGUACAGGUAGAGUUAAUGCAAAAGCUGGCUCGUCUUGGAGUGUACUGGCAGCCGGUGCUACUGGCUUGUGCUGCCAAUCUGCACAGUGCCCAGACCAACAGGGCUAGCAUGCAAGCUCCAUGGCAUUGCCUCCUUUCGAAAUUUGAAGUUUGAACAAUUAUGUUGCUCAUGAUGAUAUUGUCGAAAUAGGACCGAUGGUUGUUUAAUACUAACGUUUUGACAAUUAGUUCUUGCAGCUUCUUUAUUAAGUCAUGUAGUUUCUACUUUAGAGUGCAUAUUCACUUGGAUGAACAGUAAAAAUAAAAUGAAGCGGUAAAAAUAAAAAUAAAUUCUUGAUUUUUCAUUUCUUUUAGCAUGAGUGCAGUAGGGAAGGCUCUACCAUGUCUCAUUUCUAUUAAAAAAAUAUAAUAAUGUACAUAUGGAAGGGUGGUAGGGGAAUGAGAAUAAAAAAAUUACAAAGUGUCAAGCCAAGUUUGCAUGCCAUAUUCAGAAUGGGCUUUUCCCUGUUCAUUACCAUUUGGAAAGAGUUAAAUACACCACGAGUGCCUUAACUUGUCCUAUGCGAUCAAUUUGAUGUCUAAAGUUGUGAAAUACAUAAAAGUGAUACUCGAACUUGUCUGCGCGUGCAAAUAUGGUGCCUCCUGUCGUAUCCCGGUGUACGCUUUGCCAUGUAUCGCGUUGGCAUGGCUACAUGGCGACAGUUCGCAUGUCAAUGAGUGAUAGCAUUUUAUUUACAACCAACUCCCUUAAAUUAUACUCCCUCCGUCUCAAAAUAAGUGUCUUGACCUUAGUAUAAAUUUAUACUAGAGCUAAUACAAAGUUGAGACAUUUAUUCUGAGACACGGAGGAAAUAUUUAAUUACACAUAAAUGUAUGGCAUACAGAUGCAUAUUGAUGAUGGGUCUAACCUGUCACGUUUGGGUCCUGCAUUUCCAGGCAGGCGAGCGGAUGAGAAAAAAAUAGUAGUAAUAAGAAAGAAAAAGGACAAGCCUAGAUGGAUUCGAUGCCAGGACAUUGCGUGCACAACAUUCACAUGUUAACAAAUACACUACACCAAGCAUGGCUGCAUUUAAUUGUUUUCCUUAAUACCGGAUGUCGUGUGUGUGGUAUGCAUCCGUGCACACGUCAAUGACAAUUUAUUUGUUUGGUGUUACCAUGAAAACAAUAUCUUUGUUUGGUGCACACCUAAAUUCUUCACUUGUUAUCGUAUCGAGGGAGACUCGGGGAAUAUGCUAGUGCAUUUGAAAACAAAUGUUCACCAUGUUUUUGAAAAAUGUUUCACGUGUAUUAUAAAAUUGUAAACGUGUUUUUGAAUGAUGUUUGUCAUGCAUUCAAAAUGUUGAUAACAUGUACUUCAAAAAAUGUUCAACGUGUAUUUUAGAAUUUAUUGCGUAAAAUUGUUACCAUGAUUGAAGAUGAAUAGAUUGGAAGUUUUUCCCGCAAAAAAAACGCCUUUAGUGGUUUUAAUACAUUUCUAGAGUUAUUAUUAUUACAUGAUAAUAUUUUAAACAGAUUGAACAAUUACGUUAUCAUUUUUUGUAAUUGUAUAUUUUAAAAUACAAUGAAAAUACACAAUAAUUGUCCGUGCUUGUGGUCCUGCACGAAUAUACAUAAAUUUACACAAUAAUUCUUAAUAUAUGUUGAACUGUCUAAAUCUACAUAACUUUUAGAAUUAGUUCAUGUUUACCUCUUCAAAGUACACAGUAAAAAAAUAAUAAAGAAUUAAACUACACAAUAAUUGCCUACUGAUAGCUAUUGUAGUUUUUAUAUGACAAAAUUUACAUAUCAUGAAAGCUAAACAGAAACUUGAAAAAAAAUGUAGAAAAUGUGUUAAGGAAUCGCACAUCUAUAGGCGAUAUUGUUCUACACACAUUUCUAGUUACUUUUUUUUGAUGACACAUGCAGUUCUAGUUACUCGUAGAACGUAUAACUUAUUUUGGUCAGGUGGCCAACAAGCGUCUGCAUAUUUCUAAUUUAAGGGUCCUUUCUACGUAAUUAAAUAAAAAUGAGGUGGUUUCUGGAAAAAAAAACAUCACUCGACCACUUCCAGCCACUGACAUGCAGGUUACCGCCACACUGGGGUGCCAUGCAGGCAGGGCAUACGUCCGGAUACGAUAGAAAGCACUGUAUUUGCACGGAGGGAUAAGUUUAAGCACCACUUUCAUGUAUUUUACAACUUUAGGCACCAAAUUAACCGCACAUGACAAGUUAAGGCACCCGUGGUGUAUUUAACUCAUUUGGAAAUCCUCUUUGAAAGAAUAGCAACACUGGUCCAUAUUUCUCUGUUUGUUUUCAAAUAUGAUAACAUUCAUGUGCAUCCUAUGAUAAGAGUUUCUCUGAAACAAUUGUUUCCCAUUCUAGUUUGUCAUUCAAUCAUAAUAUCAAAUAUAUUUAAAUCUGUGUUCCACACCUUGACCAUUGUCAUCCUUUUCUUUAGACGAGAAUAACAUAUAAAAAAGAUGAUGAGUGAGAUCCCCAUUGGUACUCCCUCCGUACUUAUUUACUCCGCAUAUUAGGUUUGUCUAAAGUCAAACUUUAUAUACUUUAAAUAAGUUUGUAGAAAAAUAUAUUAACAUAUACACCACUAGAUCAAUACCAUUAGAUCCAUCAUUACAUGUUUAUUUCACAUCAUAUAGAUUUGUUACAAUAAAUGUUCAUAUUGUUUUCUAUAAACUUGGUCAAAGUUUACAAAGUUUGACUUCAGUCAAAGCUAAUAUGCAAAGUAAAUAAAAACAGAAGGAGUACCUUCAUCACAGCGCACACAAGUAGUGUCAUCAAUGUGAAAAUGUUUCUUGGAAAGCAAAUCCCUGGUAUUAAAUUUGUCCUAAAUGGGUAACCAGAAAGAAAAAGAUUGUUUACACAAACAACCUGAUUCCCAUGUCCAUCUGAAGGGAGCAUCAAUGUUUGGUGGUGGGGUGGGAUGGGGUGGGGUGUCAAGCUAAUACAUAGAAAUUUCCCGUUGGAGUAUUUCAGUCCACUCCAGUUGAAAGUCCAAGUGUCAGCAGUAUAAUUGAGAUCGAUGCCAUUCAUAAUGCUAGCAAAUUCAUCACAUCAUUGGAGUACAAUGCCCGAUACUGGUAGAUGGAAGAUAUUGUAUAUGUCAUCUGAGAUAUAGUUUUAAUUAGCUGGAGAUAAUGUGAUAUUUUUGUUUUUGCAAAUGAGUGAAGUUGAGGAAAUCUUUCUUUCAUGCUAUCAUCAUGCCAAUUGUCAUUCCGUAACAAAAUGGAUGAACCAUCAUUAGGGCUAAUGUUAUGAUAUUCUUAAAGGGAGUACCUAGAACUCAUUUAGAUGAGAUAUAAUUUGGUCUCAUUCACUUUGAAAACAAGAACAUAUACAACCCACGUCAGCUGAAAGUGCAACUAAUCCCUGGGUGGUUUUGAUAAUUCUUAACCUUUUUCAAGAUAAUCAUUUCAGAAAGUUUAAUGAUUGGCAUGGCAUGGACUAGGGAUGUGGACCCCUCAAAAUGCAAAGGAUACAUAUUGGCAACAAGCUCAAGACUCUACCUUUUUCAUUUAAGUGAUCCAAGAUCACAUUGAGUCUAUAGGAAAGCCAAUACUAUUAAAAGGGGAUGAGGUGUUGCUUAAUGGUUUGCUUGCUCAAAAUGCUUAGUGAUAUGCUCCAAAACCCUCGACCACUUUCCCAUUUCCACAUUUGUCCUAAAUCUAAAAGUCAAACUCGGCCCCACCAAUUUGAUCUAUCCGGCGCUACUGAGUUCACUUGACAUAGCCAUAGCCAGAAACCCUAAACACUUCGGUCUCACCGAUAGGGAUCUCGGUCUCACCGAGAUGGGAUUGCAAACUCUCUGUAUCCCUUCGUAACGUUUCGGUCUCACCGAAAUGAGCGAUCGGUACCACCGAGUUCGCAAUGCAAACUCUCUGUUUCCUUCUCGUAACGCUUCGGUCUCACUAAAACGAGCGAAUAGGUCCCACCGAGUUUGCCUGACCAACUCUUUGUUUGCCUAUUAGUGAAAUCGGUCCCACCGAGUUCAUGUGAUUGGUCUCACCGAGAUCAAGUUAUGCCCUAACCCUAGCGCAUCGGUCCCACCAAGUUGAUCAUAUCGGUCCCAUCGAAAAUCCUAACGUUCACAUUUAUAACUGAAUCGACCUGACCGAGUUUCUUGAUUCGGUCCCACUGAGUUUGGGAAUAUGUGUGUAAAAGUUAGAUUUUGUGUGGAGGCUAUAUAUACCCCUCCACCCACUCUUCAUUCGUGGAGAGAGCCAUCAGAACAUACCUACACUUCCACUACUCAUUUUCUGAGAGAGAACCACCUACUCAUGUGUUGAGACCAAGACAUUCCAAUCCUACCAUAUGAAUCUUGAUCUCUAGCCUUCCCAAGUUGCUUUCCACUCAAAUCAUCUUUCCACCAUAGCCAAAUCUGUGAGAGAGAGUUGGUUGUUGGGGAGACAAUCAUUUGAAGCACAAGAGCAAGGAGUUCAUCAUCAACACACCAUCUAUUACCUUUUGGAGAGUGAUGUGUGCUAGAUUGGUUAGGUGUCGCUUGGAAGCCUCCGUCAAGAUUGUGGAGUUGAGCCAAGAAGUUUGUAAGGGCAAGGAGUUCGCCUACUUCGUGAAGAUCUACCCAAGUGAGGCAAGUCCUUCGUGGGCGAUGCCCAUGGUGGGAUAGACAAGGUUGCUUCUUCAUGGACCCUUCGUGGGUGGAGCCCUCCAUGGACUCGCGCAGUCGUUACCCUUCGUGGGUUGAAGUAUCCAUCAACGUGGAUGUACGGUAGCACCACCUAUCGGAACCACCAAAAAUCUCCGUGUCUACAAUUCCGUUUGCUCCCUCCAAACUCCUCCCUUUACCUUCAUAUGCAAUGAUUUACAUUCUGCUUCUAUACUCUUUGAUUUGCAUGUGUUAGGUUGAUUGCUUGACUAGUGCUAAGUUGCUAAAAUCUGCCAAGAAUUAAAAUUGGGAAAAGGUUAAGUUUUUUUGGGUCAAGUAGUCUAAUCACCCCCCCUCUAGACAUACUUUCGAUCCUACAAGUGGUAUCAGAGCUUUGGUCUCCAUUUGCCUUGAUUUCCAUACCUUUGGUGAUCAUAGCCUUGGUUUCACAACCUAGGAGAGUAUGACAUCUAGCGAGGGAAAUUACCACCGUAGAGGUCCUUACUUUGAUGGUACUAAUUUUGCUAGUUGGAAGCAUAAGAUGAAAAUGCAUAUUCUUGGACUUAACCCCGCCAUUUGGGCUAUUGUGUGUAUUGGAUUGCAAGGUCAAUUCUUUGAUGCGAGAGAACCAAAUUGUGAAGCUACCGCGGAAGAGUUGAAGAUGUUACAAUACAAUGCUCAAGCUUGUGAUAUCCUCUUCAACGGAUUGUGCCCCGAAGAAUUCAACAAAAUCAGUCGUCUUGAGAAUGUAAAGGAAAUUUGGGAUACUUUGAUUGAUAUGCACGAAGGUACCGACUCCAUCAAGGAAUCCAAGUUGGAUGUGCUUCAAAGUCAACUUGAUAAGUUCAAAAUGAAGGAAGGUGAAGGUGCCGCUGAAAUGUACUCUAGGCUUGCUCUCGUCACAAAUGAGAUUGCCGGUUCAGGAAGUGAAGAGAUGACCGACAAAUUCAUCAUCAAGAAGAUCCUAAGAGACUUGGAUGGAAAAUAUGACACUGUGUGCACAUUGAUCCAGAUGAUGCCAAAUUACAAAGAUCUCAAGCCAACGGAAGUCAUUGGGAUAAUUGUUGCUCAUGAGAUGUCACUCAAGGAUAAAGAAGAGCUUCACAACAAGUCUAGUGGUGCUGUCAAGGUCCUACAAUGACAAAAGAUCUUCUAGUCGUGAGCGAAAUUGCUAUAAUUGUUGAAGACCCGGACACUACUCCAAUGAGUGUACGACUCCCUACAAAAGAAGAGAAGACUCACCUAAAAGGAGAAGCAAAAGGGAAGAAUCACCACCAAGAGAGAGAAGGAGUAGAGAUGAUCACUAUGAACGAAGAACCUCUCGAAGAAGCAAGGAUUCGGAAAGGAAGGACAAGUCAUCAAGGGGCUACACAAAACGAAGACAUCAGGCUCAUGUUGGUGAUGGGUAUUGAUAUGUCUCCAAUGUAUCUACUUUUUCUCACGAUUUUCCUCUUGUUUUGGACUCUAAUUUGCAUGAUUUGAAUGAAACUAACCCCGGACUGACGCUGUUUCUGCAGAACUACCAUGGUGUUGUUUUUGUGCAGAAAUAAAAGUUCUCGGACUGGAACGAAACUUUGCGAGGAUUUUUUAUAUCAAUAAUAAGAAUUUCUAGAGCCAAGACCUUCCGGAGAGGGGCAUCUGGAUGGGCACAACCCACCAGGGUGCGCCGCCUCUCCUAGCGUGCCCAGCUGGGUUGUACCCACCUGGUGGCCCCGCAGACGACCCCCCUGACACUAUAAAAUCACAUAUUUCCAGGAAAAAAAUCAGGGAGAAAGAAUUAUCGUGUUUCACGAGAUGGAGCCUCCGCCAAGCCAUGUUCUUCCUCUGGAGGGUAGAUCUGGAGUCCAUUUGGGGCUCCGGAGAGGGGGAUCUUCGAUCUUCGUCAUCACCAACACAUAUCCAUCGCCAUAUCCAUGAUGCUCCCCAUCGGGAGUGAGUAAUUCCUUCGUAGGCUCAGUGGUCGGUGUGGAGUUGGAUGAGAUUCAUCAUGUAAUCGAGUUAGUUUGUUAGGGCUUGAUCCCUAGUAUCCACUAUGUUUAGUUUGUUAGGGCUUGAUCCCUAGUAUCCACUAUGUUCUGAGAUUGAUGUUGCUAUGACUUUGCCAUGCUUAAUGCUUGUCACACUUUCGGCCUAGGUGCCAUGAUUUCAGAUCUGAACCGUUUAUGUUAUCACCAUUAUAUCCAUGUUAUAGAUCUGAUUUUACAAGUUAUAGUCACCUACUACGUGUUAUGAUCCGGCAAUCCCGGAGUGACAACAACCGGGACCACUCCCGAUGAUGACCGUAGUUUGAGGAGUUCAUGUAUUCAUCGUGUGUUAAUGCUUUGUUCCGGUUCUCUAUUAAAAGGAGGCUUUAAUAUCCCUUAGUUUCCAAUAGGACCCCGCUGCCAUGGGAGGGUAGGACAAAAGAUGUCAUGCAAGUUCUUUCCAUAAGCACGUAUGACUAUUUACGGAAUACAUGCCUACAUUAUAUUUAUGAACUGGAGCUAGUGUCGUAUCACCCUAGGUUAUAACUGUCUCAUGAUGAAUAUCAUCCAACGAGUCACCGAUCCAAUGCCUAUGAAUUUAUCUUAUAUUGUUCUUGCUAAGUUAUUACCGUUGGUACUGCUAUCAUAUCACUGCUAUCACUAUUACUUUACCGUAACUAUUGCUGCUAUCACCAAAAAUAUCAUAUUACUGUGCUACUAAUCACUUUGCUGCAGAUAAUUAAUCUCUAGGCACUACAAAAAAGGCACAUCUGUGACAUUUUGGGCUGAACGAAUUUUUUUUGUCAUACUUAUGACACUUCUAUGACGAUAAUUGUGACAAAACCCGGUAUCAUCAUAGAUGUGGUGGGCACCUACUUCUAUGACAAAAAAUCAUAACAGAAAAUGGGCUUUUCAUCCUGGGCGGGCCAGAGACGCAGCUGCAUGACAUUCUUUGGGCCAUCCAUGACGGAAAAAACCAUGGUAGAAGCGAGGGCGAGGAAAAUUUCGGGGAGUUCCCAGUUACGGUGGGUGGUCGGGGGCCGAGCGAUGCGCGUUUCUCUCGUACACGUACGCAUGUGUGUGUGAGGCGUUGGCUCUAACUGAACCCGACCGAGGCGUUGGGCUCUAACUGAACCCGAGCGAUUGCACUGCAGGCUACGCGUUACUGAACCCGAGCGAUCGAUCGAUGGUUGUUAACUAAACCCGAUCGAGCGAUUCCUUCGCUACUGCUGCUAACUGAAGCCGAUCGAUGCUGCCUCUGGAUGAACAGUGANNNNNNNNNNNNNNNNNNNNNNNNNNNNNNNNNNNNNNNNNNNNNNNNNNNNNNNNNNNNNNNNNNNNNNNNNNNNNNNNNNNNNNNNNNNNNNNNNNNNNNNNNNNNNNNNNNNNNNNNNNNNNNNNNNNNNNNNNNNNNNNNNNNNNNNNNNNNNNNNNNNNNNNNNNNNNNNNNNNNNNNNNNNNNNNNNNNNNNNNNNNNNNNNNNNNNNNNNNNNNNNNNNNNNNNNNNNNNNNNNNNNNNNNNNNNNNNNNNNNNNNNNNNNNNNNNNNNNNNNNNNNNNNNNNNNNNNNNNNNNNNNNNNNNNNNNNNNNNNNNNNNNNNNNNNNNNNNNNNNNNNNNNNNNNNNNNNNNNNNNNNNNNNNNNNNNNNNNNNNNNNNNNNNNNNNNNNNNNNNNNNNNNNNNNNNNNNNNNNNNNNNNNNNNNNNNNNNNNNNNNNNNNNNNNNNNNNNNNNNNNNNNNNNNNNNNNNNNNNNNNNNNNNNNNNNNNNNNNNNNNNNNNNNNNNNNNNNNNNNNNNNNNNUUGCCUCUGGAUGAACAGGACCCCGAUCGAUUGAGCCGGUUGGGGCUGGAGGAUCAGGACCCCGUGGAGGGUUGGAUGAAUAGGACGACCCCGUGUAGGGCUGGAUGAACAGUAGAUGGUGGAGGGGUGGAUGAACAGUGGCCCGUGGAGGGGCGGUUGAACAGGAGCCCGUGGAGAGGGGUGGUUGAACAGUAGCCGGUGUAGUAGCGCGCGGUGGAGGCUGGAUGAACAGGAGCCCGUGGAUGAAUAGCCGCAGGUGGAGGCUGGAGGAGGUCGACGGUGGAGAUGAACAGUAUCCCGUGGAGUCCCGUUUUGCGGUACGCCACACCCCUCCCGAUGAACAGGACCCCCGUUUCGACUGUAGCGCUCCAACACAAGUCCGUUUUGUCCGUUUUGCAGUACGCCACACCCCUCCCGAUCAACAGGACCCCCGUUUCGACCGUAGGAGGUCCGUUUCCUCCGUUUUGCAGUACACCAGACCCCUCCCAAUGAACAGGAUCCCGUUUCGAAUGUGGUCGAUCGAACACAAGGCCGUUUCCUCCGUUCUGCGGUACGCUAGGCCUCCUUUCCAUUGCAUGUUCCGUCCAAGCCCUCCCGAUGAACACGACGACGCAUUCUGUUCCGACCCAGCCGGUUGGCUCCCCAUGAACACGACGACGCUCUUUCUCUGUUCCGACCCAGCCAUGUACACGAGCCCUGGCCGUACGUAUGCACGAGUAGGCGUUCGAGACCCCGCCCGUAUGUACGUACGUGGAUGUAUUUUCUUUCUUGCACCCUGGCCGUUGUACGUACAUGUACAUGCUACGUGCGCGCCUCUACUAUGACACGUGCACGCCUCUACAUCGACCAGUAUAUAUGUACAUACACGUUCGCCACAAGAAUGACAAUGCUACGUACGCUUCGACCAGGUGGGUCCCGACUGUCAGGCACUUCCUUGCGUGUGAAUAUGUAGCUAGUGGGUCCCAACAGUCAGGGGGGCAAUCAUUUUUUGCCCGGACGCGCACUUCCUUGCGUGUGAAGAUGUAGCUGGUGGGUCCUAGCAGUCAGCGGGGAAACAUUUUUUUCGUGAAAUACGGUGGCCCGUCCGGUGGGUCCCUGCUGUCAGGUGGAGGAAUAAUUAUUUUGCGCAUAAUAAGGAGGCACUUCCUUGUGGCUGCCGUGGACCCAACUGUCAGCCUCUCCACGUACAGUACUCUUCCGAUGGAAGUCGGUCAUUGACCACAUUGACCAUGCCGUGCCGAGAGCACCACGGCGGUGGACGACGGCGAGGCCUUAGGAAGGGGAUGACGCAGAGCUGGGGAAGAUGCAGCAGUGGAUGCCCACACGAAGAGGAGUACGAGGGUUCACUGGUUCGGCUGCAAUGUGAGGAUGCCGUCGCUGCAGAAUAAGAGGGGGUGUGGGUGAGUAGAGGGAUGGCCUGGCCAGCGGUGGGAGUAGUAGGAGGCGGUGAGGCCUCCGUGACAUCACAACCGGCCACGGGAGGCGGGAGCAUGCGGCACGACCGGCGCUGCUUUGGGCGGCUGGAGCAAGAAGACCAGAGGUUGAAGAAGCACUUCGGCCAUUGGAUGGACAUCGUACGGGAACUGGAGCUAGAAUCGUUCAUAUUGACUAAAGUUGACAAAGGCCUCCGUCCCAGUCAACUUAGUAGGCCAACAAGUCAGCCUCCCACCGAGGUGGGUCCCAACUAGCAGGGGGUAUUCAUUUUUGUGUGCGUAAUAAGGAGGCACUUCCGGUGGGUCCGAGCUGGCAGCGAUGGGAACGUUUUUUUCGCGAAAUACGGUGGCCCGACCGGUGUGUCCCAACAGAAACAUUUUUUUCAUGAAAUACGGUGUCCUAUUCGGUGGGUCCUAGCAGUCAGGGGGGAAAUGCUUUUUUUUGCGAAAUACUGGUGGCCCGCCCAGUGGGUCCCUGUUGUCAGGUGGAGGAAUAAUUAUUUUCCGCGUAAUAAGGAGGCACUUCCUUGCGGCUGCUAUGGACCCAGCUCUCAGCCUCUCCAUGUACAGUACUCUUCGGAUGGAAGUCGGUCGUUGACUACAUUGACCACGCUGCGCCGAGAGCACCACGGCGGUGGACGAUAGCGAGGCCUAGGAAGGGGACGACGCGGAGCCGGGGAAGACGCGGUAGUGGAUGCCCACGCGAAGAGGAGUAUGAGGGUUCACUGGUUUGGCUGCGCUGCCCUCACCGCAGAAUAACAGGGGGUGUGGCUGAGUGGAGUGGAGGGAUGGCCUGGCCACCGGUGGGAGUAGUAUGGGGGCAGUGAGGCCUCCGCGGCAGCACAACCAGCCACGGGAGGCAGGAGCAGGCGACACGACCGGCGCUGCUUUGGGUGGCUGGAGCAAGAAGACCAGAGGUUGAAGAAGCACUACGGCCGUUGGAUGGACAUUGUAUGGUCACUCGAGCUAGUAUUAUACCACUUCUAGUAUUACCUAUGUUGUUUUUUAAUACUUUUGUGUGCCAUCUAGUUAAUCUCGAGUACAAACAAUACAUAUUCUAUAGCUUUCAUCUGUGUUCUCCCUUUAUUUUAUGAGACCUGUUGCUGCUAGUUAACCCCAGUCCUACUAUUUAUGUCGUCUCCUACAGACACUCAUUACAUAAAUCUAACUACUAGUUGUCUUCCAUGCAUGUCAUAUAUAAUUGCACACACUGAUAUAUCUAGAAGAACCUCACGGAGCAAUGUAAAGGCCAAUAAACUUGAUGUCAAUGAUACCCAAUAUGAUGGAACAUGUAAAGGCAGUUCUUCAGAAGACUUGCAGAAAGAUGAUGAAUCCUCUUCACCCCACAAGGUCCUUGCUCUAACUUGGCCUGUGAUAUGGGUACAACAUGCAUAUAAUGUCCUAGAGUGUAUCUACUCUGUUGCAAUGCCAUGUGCUUAGCAUGCUGAUCAUGCAUGUAAAUAUGUCAUGCCUUCCUGUUUUUCAGUACCUAUUCCAUUCAUGAUAACAUGUUUUCAAAUUCAAGUACUGUCAUUCUACUCUAUCACAAUGCCAUCUGCUUAAUUUGGACAUCAUGCUUCUGAAUAUCUUAUGCAUUGUUAUUCAUCAGUAUGUACUUCAUUUGUCUACCAUACCAUGUUUUUUACAUUGAAGUGUUGUUCUAGUGCUCUGUUGCAAUGCCAUCUUAAUUUCCCAAUUAUACACGUGUAUGUUGCCUUAGUUUUUUCUGUAUGUAUUCCGCUAGCAUACAGUUUUACAUUCAACUAGUGUUUUUUUGUUGUGUUGUCCUGUCGUAUCCCUAGCUCUUACACCAUACUCCCUCUGUACGGAUUACAUGUUGCCGAAAUGAAUAAAAAGGAUGUAUCUAGAACUCAAAUACGCCUAGACCCAUCCAUUUUUUUCCGGAUGGAGGGAAUACAUGUUAAUAUGUCAUGCCUUUCUAUUAUUCAGUACCAAUUCGAUCUCUCUGCUGUAGCAUGUUUUAUAAUUAAAGCAUCAUUCUUCUAUACAAGGCAUGCAAGGGGAAGACGACUAUGUUAGAAUCUGAAGGGUUACAAACAAGGCCUUUGCAGAAGAUCCAAACGCUAGGAGAUAAUAAACCAACUCCAGUUUUUAUAGAUACUGCUCCAGCAUAGAGAAACCCAACUCCUACUAAUAAUAAGCAGAUUCCAGUGGCCAAAGAACUAGUCCGCUCCAGUCCAGCAAAAAUAUGUCAACUCCAUUCUAAGAAGCGUGUGCGUAUCCUUGCAUCAUAAAAUUUUAUAGCAUGCUGAUCAUAUUUUCUACAUGUUUCUUACCCAUCUCUCUUUUAGAAAAGGGAUAUUAGAUUUAUGCCCCUAGUUGUGUCCCACUCGUCUGUUUUACCCCUAAUUCCCAAAAUUCACCGCUUGUGUCCAAGUCACUUUGCUCCUCUUAUGCUUUUGCCCUUUGACCGUCUGACCGUCAGUUUGAAAACUUCAUAACUAAUUCAUACUAAAUCAGAAAAAUCCAAAUAAGAUACCAAAAUGUUCAGAAAAACAUCACUUAUAUGUCAGUGUCAUUUGCAUUCAUGAAAAAAGUGUUGGAAAGUGCACAUCCGAGUUUUAGCUCUUUUGAUACCACCAUGAAUAGUAAAAUCUAAAAAAGUUCAAAAAAAUUCAAAAAAAAAUUUAGCGGCAAAGAAUGAAAAAUGUUUCAAGUGCCUACCAAGUUUCAUGAGGGAAUAACAUUCGUGGGUGCCGCGGGCAAAAAAAAACAAUCAGCACUCCAAAAAGAUUAUUUUUUUGCCACGACUUCCACGAAUGUCGUACCCUAAUGAAACUUGGGCAAUCACUUAGAACAUUUGUUGUUCUUUGUCACCAUAUUUUUUUUGAUUUUUUUUGAAUUUUUUUAGAGUUUACUAUUCAUGGUGGUAUCAAAAGAGCUAAAACUCGGAUGUGCACUUUCCAACACUUUUUUCAUGAAUACAAAUGACACUGACAUUGGUGAUGUUUUUCUGAACAUCUUGGUAUCUUAUUUGCAUUUUUCUGAUUUAGUAUGAAUUAGUUAUGGAGUUUUUAAACUGACGGGGCAAAAGCAUAAGAGGAGCAAAGUGACUUGGACAGAACCGGUGAAUUUUGGGAAUUAGGGGUAAAACAGACGAGUGGGACACAACUAGGGGCAUAAAUCUAAUUAUCCCUUUAGAAAAUAGGCUUAACAAAUAGAAGAAUUUCUGCACUGAUAUCAUAUGUGAGGAAAGAUUCUUGCAGGAAUUCUCUGUGCUCCAAUGCAGAUGUAAGUAACUGUUGUAUAUCACUAUAUUUUUACAUCAGCAUGUAUUUUGUUAAUCGGCGUGAAUCUAACCUUUAUCUGAUCUAAAUUUAGUUGUAGCAAAAUGUAUGAUUAAAGGCCACAAUGUUGAUUUUUGUAAGGAAAACUGCCUGGUAGUUUUGCAUCUUGAGCUGCAUGAGUGUACUAUCUCAUAUCAGUGGGUUUGAAUACUUUGGUUCUGCAGUGGGUUUUCAAUGUGUUUUUUUACUGUGUUAUCCCGUCGUAUCCCUAGCUCUUACAUUGUACUCCCUCCGUCCGGAUUAUAUUUCACAGAAAUGGAUAAAACUGGAUGUAUCUAGAACUGAAAUAUGCCUAGACCCAUCCAUUUAUUUCCGGAUGGAGGGAAUACAUGUCAAUAUGUCAUGCCUUUCUAUUCUUCAGUACCUAUUCCAUCUCGGUUGUAGCAUGUUUUAUAACUGAAGCACCAUUCUUCUAUAUAAGGCAUGCAAGGGAAAGACGGCUAUGUUAGAAUCUGAAGGGUUACAAACCAGGUCUUUGCAAAAGAUCCAAACGCCAAGAGAUAAUAAACCAACUCCAUUUUUCAUAGAUACUGCUCCAGCACAGAGAAACCCAACUCCCACUGAUAAUAAGCAGAUUCGAGAGGCCAAAGAACUAGUCCGCUCCAGUUCAGCAAAAGAAUGUCAACUCCAUUCUAAGAAGCGUGUGCGUACCUCGCAUCAUGAAAUUUUAUAGCAUUCCGAUCAUAUUUUCUACAUGUUUCUUACCCAUCUCUCUUUUAGAAAAUAAGGUUAAACGAUAGAAGACUUCCUCCAUUGGGAUCGUAUUCAAGGAAAAUAUCUGGCGGGAAUUCUCUGUGCUCCAAUGCUGAUGUAAGUACCUGUUGUAUAUCACUAUAUUUUUACAUCAGCAUGUAUUUUGUUAAUCGACGUGAAUCUAACCUUUAUCUGAUCUAAAAUUAGUUGUAGCAAAAUGUUAAAGGCGCCAAUUUUGAUUUUUGUAAGGAAAACUGCAUGGUAGUUUUCCAUAUUGAGCUGCAUGAGUGUACUAUCUCGUAUCACGCACAUUACUGAAUUGUAGUGCUUCUCUGGUUACCCAUUCAUUCAUUGUGUCAAUGUUGCUUUCGUAUUACCUUACCUGGAUGAUGAUAGCUGUGCCAUAUUGUGUUAAUUUGGUGUAGGCUAGUUGCCCAAACUUUCAUUGUGUCAAUGUUGCUUUCCUAUUAUCUGACUUGGCCAAUGAUAUCAAUGCUAGUGUGUUAAUUUGGCGCAGGCUGCUGAAGAUAAGAAGACAAACUCUGAAAACAGCAAGGCAACCCCAUUGUUUUUUCCAAUAAAUCUAGGCCAGGUAAUAUAGCAAUAACUCACGAUUAAUCUGUUUGGUUGCCCUCCUAAUUUAUGUUAUGACGCAGUGGUCGAGACACUCUCCACUAUCAAUAAUACAAGCCUGCCAAAAUCGCCAUCUGAAUCUGUUCAAUAUCCUCUAUCUCGAAUGCAACGGAAUAAAUGUAUGUUUCUGAACCAAUUAAUGGCUGAAGCAAUGAUGGAAAUGGUGGAUGAAUCAGAGGCGCAGAGUCGUGCGACACAACAACUAAUCAAUGUUUUUAGAGACAGUGUAGCAAAGCAUAAAGAACUUGCGCACAUGCUUAUGGGCGUCAUCUAUGCUGAGGUUGCAGAUUGUGACAUUGUAGAUGGUUAGGUUCUGCUCAUUUAUUUGCACCGGCAUCAAUCUUUGAUUGCCUAGUGGAUGUAAUUUCCUGUAAUAUAUGCUGGUUGUGCAACGUUAUUCCCUGUAUGUCGUACCUUUGCUUGAUCAGUUUUGGUCCUGUGCAUAAUUGCUCGUCGUAAUGGGCUCAAAUUAUCUAAUUUGGCCUAAAGACAUGUACAAACUUUAGUGGGCACAUUAAGUUAAUGGGCCAUUACUAGGCCGAAAGUUAAUGGUCGGCCCUCUUACCACCCAGGUCGUUAACAGGCCAACAUCGAAGUGGGCAACAGGUGGGCCCAAUUGAUUCCACGGGCCGUUAACAGGCCGUUACUAAGUUUGGGCUACAUAUGGACCAACUAUAUUGUAGGCCUUUAGCAGGCCGAAAGAGACAGCGGGCUUGUACUGGACCAUGAAGAGCAUGGGACGCUAAAAGGCCGAAAGUCAGGUCAUAUUGUAGAUGGCCCAACUGUGUUGUGGGCCUUUAGCAGGCCGAAAGAGAAACCGGGCUGGCAUUGGACCAUGAAGGGCAUGGGCCGUUAAAAGGCCAAAACUAAGGUCCGACUACAAAUUGCCCAACUCAUUUAUGGUCCGUUAACAGGCCAAAAGGCACAAAGGGUCGGGAAUUGGCCCAACACUUAAAUGCGUCGCUAAAAGGCCAAAACUCAGGUCCGACUACAAAUGGCCCAACUGAUGUAUGGGACGUCAAUAGGCUGAAAGAGACACCGGGCCGGAAAUCGGCCCAACACUUAAAUGGGCCGCUAAAAGGCCGAAACUCAGGUCCGACUACAAAUGGCCCAUCUGAUUUAUGGGCCGUCAACAGGCAGAAAGACACGCCGGGCCGGAAAGUAGCCCAACAUUUAAAUGGGUCACUAAAAGGCCGAAAGAUGUACAUACUGAAAACUGGCCCAUCCAUUGAAUGGGUCGUUAACAGGCCGAAAUCUCAUCGGGCCGAUAUUGAGCCCAAAUAUAUAGCGGGUUGUUAACGGGCUCGAUUUGACGAUGGGCUGCAAUGGUGUCAAAUCUUUAAUGGGUCGUUGAUGGGCCGAAUUGGCACAUCUCGUAUGGGCCAUGGGCUUAAAUGGACCUGACACAAGUAAGCCUUAUAUGGGCCGGCCUGCUAAUUUUUACUGGGCCGACCUUUUUCACCGGAAUGGGUCACUGUUGGGCCGUGCCAUGUGUCGACCUAUCAUCGGCGCCUCCUGUCCAAUGAGUGGAUGACAUCUGUCCCAAUGGUGAGGCAACACGUGUUUCCUGCGGCCAAAGAUGAUUUUACAUGUGGAAAAUCCCCAUUGGUCCAGGCUAUUAACGGUUUAUCAGACUCAAAACUGGACCCGAUAGCUUAACGACGUUCCGUUACGGUGGAUGCCACGUGUCGGUCACCCUUGACGAAAGCACUUCUGUGACGCGCGAUUUAUCGUCAUGGAAGUGGACACUUCCGUGAUGAUAAUUUUGGUAAUGUCAUGGAACACUUCUAUGACAACACAGGUAUGACUAUAUUGAUUCUGUCAUAAAAUCAUCAUGGAUGUACAUGCAUGACAAAAAACGUGACCUACUGUGACAAACACGUAUCAUCACGGAAGUGUAUUUAUUUGUAGUGAGGUAUGGUUGAAUUGACAACUCAGCUGCUAAUACCUUCAAAUAUUCUUUGGCUCCCCUUGUGUCGAAUCUAUAAAUAUGGGUUGAAUACUCUACCCUCGAAAACUGUUGCGAUCCUCUAUACUUGUGGGUUAUCAAGACCUUUUUCUGGCGCAGUUGCCGGGGAGCAUAGCUAUAUAUGUUGAGUCACUUGGGAUUAUUAUCAUAUUAUCACUAUGAAGAAUCUGAAGGAUGCUAAGACUAAGAUUUUUCCUUCAAAGACGAGGGGAGGUAAGGAACAACCAUCCAGUUAUGCUUUAGAUUCACCUUCUAUUAUAAGUAAACUUGCAACUCCACAACAUGCUAUUAAUUCUGAUAUGUCACAAUUUAUUGAUGAUGCUAAUUCUACUAUGAAUGAUGCUUAUGAUGAUGCUAGUACCUUGCUUGAUGAUGAUGUGCCACUAGGUGAAUUUCUUGAUGAACAAAUUGCUAAAGUAAUACAACAUGAUAUUGUUGAAUCUGAUGAUGAACUUGAAACUGAAACUCUUGAAAUACCUAGAACUAGUCCUCCUAGAUAUGAAUUGCCAAAGGUACCAGUUAUACUAUGAGUGAGGAGGCAACUAGAGAUAUUCUUGCUUGUAAGGAUAGAGAUGAUCUAGAGAAAUUAUUAUGCAAGUAUAAAGAAAGAUCUCUGAAUGCUAAAAUGAAAUGUGAUCCUAAGUUUGCUAAUUCACCUAUUGUUAUUAAUGAUAAGGAUUAUGAAUUCUCUAUCGACCCAGAGUUAAUCACUUUGGUUGAAUCUGAUCCUUUCCAUGGUUAUGAAACUGAAACUAUUGUGGCACAUGUUACUAAGUUGAAUGAUAUAGCUACCCUUUUUGCUCAUGAGAAGAUUCUCUACUACUAUAUUAUGAAGUUAUUUCCAUUCUCAUUAAUGGGUGAUGUUAAGGCUUGGUACAAUACUCUUGCUCCUGGUUGUGUGCGUACUCCCCAGGAUAUGGUUUAUUACUUCUCGGAAAAAUAUUUCCCUGCUCAUAAGAAAUAAGUUGCCUUGCAGGAAAUAUUUAACUUUGUGCAAAUUGAAGAAUAGAGUCUCCCAAAAGUUUGGGGGAGGCUUCUCCAAUUGCUUAAUGCUUUGCCUGAUCAUCCUCUUAAGAAAAAUGAAAAACUUGAUAUAUUCUAUAAUGGACUAACCGAUGCUUCUAGGGACUUCCUAGAUAGUUGUGCUGGUUGUGUUUUCAAGGAACGAAUCAUUGAGCAAGUUGAAGAAUUACUGAAUAACAUAUUAAAAAAUUAUGAUGAUUGGACUCCUCUUGAAACACAUAUUAAACCCACUCCAAAGAAGAGGGGUAUCUUAUAUCUCAGUCCUGAAGAUAUGCAAGAAGCAAAGAAAUCUAUGAAGCAAAAAGGUAUUAAGGACGAGGAUGUUAAAAAUUUACCACCCAUCGAAGAAAUACAUGGGCUUGAAGCACCACCACCACCCAAGGAGGUAGAGGUAAAAUAUUUAAUGAAAUUCAAUGAUAGUGAUGAUCCUCAUAAUAAACAUCCUAGUCAAUGCCUUUAUGAGUUUGAUAAUUACAUUAGAAAGCAAGAUCACUGCAAUGCAAAUGUUAUGAAACAAUUGAAAUACAACUCUGAUAUGAUUGCUCACUUAAGUGACUUGUUAUUUAGAAUCUGAAAUGAUGUUAGAGGUGUAGGAAAACAUGCCCCUAUGGUUCAAACUCAAUUGGAACAAGUUGGUAAAUCUCAAAGAGAGUUACUUGAUGAAAUAAACAAUAAUAUACAUGACUUUGCUGUUAGAGUUGCAACUAGAGGAGGUAAAAUGACUCAGGAACCACUUUAUCCUAAGGGACACCCAAAAAUAAUUGAACAAGAUUUGCAAAGAAAUAACACUAGUGCACCUAGUCCUUCUAAAACGAAAAAGAAAAAGAAAAAGAUAGGACUUUGCAUGCUUCUAGUGAACCUGAAAUAGACAAACCUCCUAAUAAUGAUAAUGAAACUUGUAUCUCUGAUGCUGAAACUCAAUCUGGUAAUGAACACUCACCUUCUGAUAAUGAAAAAGAUAAGGAUGAAGUUCAUGAAGACACCCAACCUAAUGAUAAACAACCAGAUAAUGACGUUGAGAUAGAACCAGUUGUUGAUCUUGAUAACCCACUGUUGGGGAACACGGUAAUUUCAAAAAAAUUCCUACGAUCACACAAGAUCUAUCUAGGAGGUGCAUAACAACCAGAGGGGAGAGUGUUUCCACGUACCCUCGUAGUCUGAAAGUAGAAGUGUUUAGUAACGUGGUUGAUGUAGUCGAACUUCUUCGCGAUCCAACCGAUCAAGUACUGAACGUACGACACCUCCGCGUUCAGCACACGUUCAGCUCGAUGACAUCCCUCGUACUCUUGAUCUAGUUGAGGCCGAGGGUGAGUUCCGUCAGCACGAUAGUGUGGCGACGGUGAUGAUGAUACUACCAGCGCAGGGCUUCGCCUAAGCUCCGCAACGGUAUGAUCGAGGUGUGUAACUAUGGAGGGGGGCACCGCACACGGCUAAAAGAUCAACUUGUGUGUCUUUGGGGUUCUCUGCUCCCCCGUAUAUAAAGGAGGGAGGGAGGAGGUGGCCAGCCUAGGGGGCACGCCAAGCAUAGGGAGUCCUACUAGGACUCCCAAGUCCUAGUAGGAUUCCUUUCCUAUUCGGAGUAGGAGAGAAGGAAAGAGAGGGAGAGGGAGAAGGAAAGGGGGGUUGCGCCCCCACCCCUUGUCCAAUUCGGUUUGGGCAGGGGGAAGGCGCGCGCCACCUCUUAGCCCUUCUCCCCUCUCUCAACUAAAGCCCAAUAAGGCCCAUUACUUCUCCCGGCGAAUUCCCGUAACUCUCCCGUACUCCGAAAAAUACCCGAAUCACUCAGAACCUUCCCGAUGUCCGAAUAUAGCCUUCCAAUAUAUCAAUCUUUAUGUCUCAACUAUUUCGAGACUCCUCAUCACGUCCAUGAUCUCAUACGGGACUCCGAACAAACUUCGGUCAUCUAAACACAUAACUCAUAAUACAAAUCAUCAUCGAACAUUAAACGUGCGGACCCUAUGGGUUCGAGAACUAUGUAGACAUGAUCGAGUCACAUCUCUGAUCAAUAAUCAAUAGUGGAACUUGGAUGCUCAUAUUGGCUCCUACAUAUUCUAUGAAGAUCUUUAUCGGUCAAACCGCAUAACAACAUACAUUGUUCCCUUUGUCAUCGGUAUGUUACUUGCCCGAGAUUCGAUCGUCAGUAUCAUCAUACCUAGUUCAAUCUCAUUACUGGAAAGUAUCUUUACUCGUUUCAUAAUGCUUCAUCCCACAACUAACUCAUUAGUCACAUUGCUUGCAAGGCUUAUAGUGAUGAGCAUUACCGAGAGGGCCCAGAGAUACCUCUCCAAAACACAGAGUGACAAAUCCUAAUCUCAAUCUAUGCCAACCCAAAAAACAAUUUCAGAGACACCUAUAGAGCACCUUUAUAAUCACCCAUUUAUGUUGUGACAUUUUGUAGCACACAAAGUGUUCCUCUGGUAUUUGGGAGUUGCAUAAUCUCAUAGUCCGAGGAACAUGUAUAAGUCAUGAGGAAAGUAGUAGCAAUGAAACUGUCACGAUCAUAAUGCUAAGCUAACAGAUGGGUCAUGUCCAUCACAUCAUUCUCCUAAUGAUGUGAUCCCGUUCAUCAAAUGACAACUCAUGUCUAUGGUUAGGAAAUAACCAUCUUUGAUAAACGAGCUAGUCAAGUAGAGGCAUACUAGGGACAAUAUGUUUUGUCUAUGUAUUCACACAUGUACUAAGUUUCCGGUUAAUACAAUUCUAGCAUGAAUAAUAAACAUUUAUCAUGAUAUAAGGAAAUAAAUAAUAACUUUAUUAUUGCCUCUAGGGCAUAUUUCUUUCAGUCUCCCACUUGCACUAGAGUCAAUAAUCUAGUUCACAUCACCAUGUGAUUUAACGUCAAUAGUUCACAUCUGUAUGUGAUUAACACCCAUAGUUCACAUCGCCAUGUGACCAAUAACCAAAGGGUUUACUAGAGUCAAUAAUCUAGUUCUCAUCGCUAUGUGAUUAACACCCAAAGAGUACUAAGGUGUGAUCAUGUUUUUCUCAUGAGAGAAGUUUAGUCAACAGGUCUGACACAUUCAAAUCCGUAUGCAUUUUGCAAAUAUUCUAUGUCUACAAUGCUCUGCAUGGAGCUACUCUAGCUAACUGUUCGCACUUUCAAUAUGUAUCCAAAUUGAGACUUUAGAGUUAUCUGGAUCGGUGUAAAAGCUUGCAUCGGCGUAACUAUUUACAACAAACUCUUUAUCAUCCCCAUAACAGAGAAACAUUUCCUUAGUCCUCACUAAGGAUAAUUUUGACCGCUAUCUAUUGAUCUACUCCUAGAUCACUAUUGUACCCCCUUGCCAAAACAAUGGCAAGGUACACAAUAGGUCUAGUACAAAACAUAGCAUACUUUAUAGAACCUAUGGCUGAGGCAUAGGGAAUGCCUUUCAUUCUCUUUCUAUUUUCUGUUGUGGUCGGGUUUUGAGUCUUACUCAACAUUACACCUUGCAACACAGGCAAGAACUCCUUCUAUGACUGUUCCAUUUUGAACUACUUCAAAAUCUUGUUCAAGGUAUGUACUUAUUGAAAAGACUUAUCAAGCAUCUUGAUCUAUCUCUAUAGAUCUUGAUGCUCAAUAUGUAAGCAACUUUACCGAGGUCUUUGUUUGAAAAACUCCUUUCAAACUCUCCUUUAUGCUUUCCAGAAAAUUCUACAUCAUUUCUGAUCAACAAUAUGUUAUACACCUAUACUUAUUAGAAAGGUUGUAGUGCUCCCACUCACUUUCUUGUAAAUACAGGCUUCACCGCAAGUCUUUAUAAAACCAUAUGCUUUGACCACACUACCAAAGCGUUUAUUCCAACUUCGAGAUGCUUGCACCAGUCCAUAGAUGGAUCGCUGGAGCUUCCACAACUUGUUAGUACCUUUAGGAUUGACAAAACCUUCUGGUUGCAUCAUAUACAACUCCUUUUUAAGAAAUAUCCAUUUAAGGAAUGCAGUUUUGACAUCCAUUUGCCAAAUUUCAGAAAAUAUGGCAAUUGCUAACAUGAUUCAGAUGGAUUUAAGCAUAACUACAGUUGAGAAAAUCUCAUUGUAGUCAACACCUUGAACUUGUGGAAAACCUUUUGUGACAAGUCGAGCUUUGUAGAUAGUAACACUACUAUCAGCGUCUGUCUUCCUCUUGAAGAUCCAUUUAUUCUUAAUGGCUUGCCGAUCAUCGGGCAAGUCCACCAAAGUCCACACUUUGUCCUCAUACAUGGAUCCCAUCUCAGAUUUCAUGGCCUCAAGCCAUUUCACGGAAUCUGGGCUCAUCAUCACUUCCUCAUAGUUUGUAGGUUCACCAUGGUCUAGUAACAUGACUUCUAGAAUAGGAUUAUGGUACCACUCUAGUGCGGAUCGCGCUCUAGAAGACCUACGAAGUUCGGUAGUAACUUGAUCUGAAGUUUCAUGAUCAUCAUGAUUAACUUCCUCACUAAUUGGUGUAGGAAUCACUGGAACCGAUUUCUGUGAUGAACUACUUUCCAAUAAGGGAGAAGGUACAAUUACCUCAUCAAGUUCUACUUUCCUCCCAUUCACUUCUUUCGAGAGAAACUCCUUCUCUAGAAAGGAUCCAUUCUUAGCAACGAAUAUCUUGCCUGUGGAUCUGUGAUAGAAGGUGUACCCAACAAUUUCCUUUGGGUAUCCUAUGAAGACACACUUCUCCGAUUUGGGUUCGAGCUUAUCAGGUUGAAGCUUUUUCACAUAAGCAUCGCAGCCCCAAACUUUAAGAAACGACAACUUUGGUUUCUUGCCAAACCACAAUUCAUAAGGCGUCGUCUCAACGGAUUUUGAUGGUGCCCUGUUUAACGUGAAUGCAGUUGUCUCUAAUGCAUAACCCCAAAAUGAUAGUGGUAAAUCGGUAAGAGACAUCAUAGAUCGCACCAUAUCCAAUAAAGUGCAGUUACGGCGUUCGGACACACCAUUACGCUCUGGUGUUCCAGGUGGCGUGGGCUGUGAAACUAUUCCACAUUGUCUUAAAUGAAGGCUAAACUCGUAACUCAAAUAUUCUCCUCCACGAUUAGAUCGUAGAAAUUUAUUUUUCUUGUUACGAUGAUUCUUCACUUCACUCUGAAAUUCUUUGAACUUUUCAAAUGUUUCAGACUUGUGUUUCAUUAAGUAGAUAUACCCAUAUCUGCUUAAAUCAUCUGUGAAGGUCAGGAAUAAUGAUACCUGCCACGAGCAUCAACACUCAUUGGACCGCAUACAUUGGUAUGUAUUAUUUCCAAUAAGUCACUAUCUCGUUCCCUUGUUCUGUAGAAUGGAGUUUUAGUCAUCUUUCCCAUAAGGCACGGUUCGCAAGUAUCAAAUGAUUCAUAAUCAAGUGAUUCCAAAAUUCCAUAUUUAUAGAGUUUCUUCAUGCGCUUUACACCGAUAUGACCCAAACGGCAGUGCCACAAAUAAGUUGCACUAUCAUUAUCAACUUUGCAUCUUUUGGCAUCAAUAUUAUGUGUAUUAUUAUGAUCGAGAUUCAAUAAACCAUCAACAUUGGGUGUAUGACCAUAGAAGGUUUUAUUCAUGUAAACAGAAUAACAAUUAUCCUCUGUCUUAAAUGAAUAAUCGUAUUGCAAUAAACAUGAUCUAAUCAUAUUCGUGCUCAAUGCAAACACCAAAUAACAUUUAUUUAGGUUCAACACUAAUCACGAAAGUAUAGGGGUUGUGCGAUGAUGAUCAUAUCAAUCUUGGAACUACUUCCAACACACAUCGUCACUUCACCCUCAACUAGUCUCUAUUUAUUCUGUAACUCCUGUUUUGAGUUACUAAUAUUAGCAACCGAACAAGUAUCAAAUACCCAGGGGCUACUAUGAACACUAGUAAGGUACACAUCAAUAACUUGUAUAUCAAAUAUACCUAUGUUCACUUUGCCAUCCUUCUUAUCCGCCAAAUGUUUUGGGCAGUUCCACUUCCAGUGACCAUUUCCUUUGCAGUAGAAGCACUCAGUUUUAGGAUUAGGUCCAUCUUUGGGCUUCUUCACGGGAGUGACAACUUGCUUGCCAUUCUUCUUGAAGUUCCCUUUCUUUCCCUUUGCCCUUUUCUUGAAACUAGUGGUCUUGUUUAAUCAUCAACACUUGAUGCUCUUUCUUGAUUUCUACCUUCGUUGAUUUCAGCAUCAAGAAGAGCUCGGGAAUCGUUUUCGUCAUCCCUUGCAUACUAUAGUUCAUCACGAAGUUCCAGUAACUUGGUGGUGGUGACUAGAGAACGUUGUCAAUCACUAUCUUAUCUGGAAGAUUAACUCCCACUUGAUUCAAGUGAUUUUAGUACCCAGACAUUCUGAGCACAUGCUCACCAGUUGAGAAAUUCUCCUCCAUCUUUUAGGCAAAGUACUUGUCAGAGGUCUCAUACCUCUUGACACGGGCAUGAGUCUGAAAUACCAAUUUCAGCUCUUGGAACAUCUCAUAUGCUCCAUGUCGUUUCAAAAACGUUUUUGAAGUACCAGUUCUAAGACGUAAAGCAUGGUGCACUAAACUAUCAAGUAGUCAUCAUAUUGAGCUAGCCAAACGUUCAUAACGUCUGCAUUUGCUUCUGCAACAUGUCUGUCACCUAGCAGUGCAUCAAGGACAUAAUUCUUCUGUGCAGCAAUGAGGAUACACCUCAGAUCAUGGACCCAGUCUGCAUCAUUUCUACUAACAUCUUUCAACUUAGUUUUCUCCAGGAACAUAUAAAAAACAUAGGGAAGCUAUAACGCGAGCUAUUGAUCUACAACAUAAUUUGCAAAAAUACUAUCAGGACUAAGUUCAUGUUAAAUUAAAGUUCAAUUAAUCAUAUUACUUUAGAACUCCUACUUAGAUAGACAUCCCUCUAGUCAUCUAAAUGAUCACGUGAUCCAAAUCAACUAAACCAUGUCUGAUCAUCACGUGAGAUGGAGUAGUUUUCAAUGGUGAACAUCACUAUGUUGAUCAUAUCUACUAUAUGAUUCACGCUCAACCUUUCGGUCUUAGUGUUCCGAGGCCAUAUCUGCAUAUGCUAGGUUCGUUAAGUUUAACCUGAGUAUUCUGCGUGUGCAAAAUUGGCUUGCACCCGUUGUAUGUGAACGUAUAGCUUAUCACACCCGAUCAUCACGUGGUGUCUCGGCACGUGGGAAAACACCUAUACCUUGAAAUUUUAGUAAGGGAUCAUCUUAUAAUGCUACCAUCAUACUAAGAAAAAUAAGAUGCAUAAAAGAUAAACAUUGCAUGCAAUCAAAAUAUGUGACAUGAUAUGGCCAUCAUCAUCUUGUGCUCAUGAUAUCCAUCACCGAAGCAUCAUCAUGAUCUCCAUCAUCACCGCUGCGACACCUUGAUCUACAUCGUAGCAUCGUUGUUGUCUCGCCAACUAUUGUUACUACGACUACUGCUACCGCUUAGUGAUAAAGUAAAACAAUUACAUGGCGAUUACAUUGCAUACAAUAAAGUGACAACCACAUGGCUCCUGCCAGUUGCCGAUAACUUUGUUAAAAAACAUGAUCAUCUCAUACAAUAAUUUAUAUCACAUCAUGCCUUGACCAUAUCACAUCACAGUAAGCCCUGCAAAAACAAGUUAGACAUCCUCUACUUUGUUGUUGCAAGUUUUACGUGGCUGCUACGGGCUUCUAGUAAGAACUGUUCUUACCUACGCAUCAAAACCACAACGAUUUUUGUCAAGUGUGCUAUUUUAACCUUCGCAAGGACCGGCCGUAGUCAAACUCGAUUCAACUAAAGUUGGAGAAACAGACACCCGCCAGCCACCUUUGUGCAAAAGCACAUUGGUAGAACCAGUCUCAUGAACGCGUGAUACGUCUCCUUCGUAUCUACUUUUCCAAACACUUUUGCCCUUGUUUUGGACUCUAACUUGCAUUAUUUGAAUGGAACUAACCCGGACUGACAAUGUUUUCAGCAGAACUGCCAUGGUGUAAUUUUUGUGCAGAAAUCGAGGUUCUCGGAAUGACCUGAAACUCCACGGAAGUUACUUUUGGAUUUAAUAAAAAAUACUAGCGAAAGAAUCAAGGCCAGGGGGCCCACACCCUGUCCACGAGGGUGGGGGCUCCCCUCCCUGUAGGGCGGCCGCCCAGCCUUGUGGGCCCCCUGGGCUCCACCGACCUCAACUCCAACUCCAUAUAUUCACGUUCGAGGAGAAAAAACCCACAGAAAAAGAUUCAUCGCAUUUUACAUACGGAGCCGCCGCCAAGCCCUAAACUCUCUCGGGAGGGCUGAUCUGGAGUCCGCUCGGGGCUCCAGAGAGGGGAAUCCGUCGCCGUCAUCAUCAUCAACCAUCCUCCAUCACCAAUUUCAUGAUGCUCACCGCCGUGCAUGAGUAAUUCCAUUGUAGGCUUGCUGAACGGUGAUGGGUUGGAUGAGAUUUACCAUGUAAUCAAGUUAGUUUUGUUAGGGUUUGAUCCCUAGUAUCCACUAUGUUCUGAGAUUGAUGUUGCUAUGACUUUGCUAUGCUUAAUGCUUGUCACUAGGGCUCGAGUGCCAUGAUUUCAUAUCUGAACCUAUUAUGUUUUCAUGAAUAUAUGUGAGUUCUUGAUCCUAUCUUGCAAGUCUAUAGUCACCUAUUAUGUGUUAUGAUCCGACAACCCCGAAGUGACAAUAAUCGGGAUACUUCUCGGUGAUGACCUUAGUUUGAGGAGUUCAUGUAUUCACUAAGUGCUAAUGCUUUGGUCUGGUACUCUAUUAAAAGGAGGCCUUAAUAUCCCUUAGUUUCCAUUAGGACCCCACUGCCACGGCAGGGUAGGACAAAAGAUGUCAUGCAAGUUCUUUUCCAUAAGCACGUAUGACUAUAUUCGAAAUACAUGCCUAUAUCACAUUGAUGAACUGGAGCUAGUUCUGUGUCACCCUAUGUUAUACAUAUUACAUGAGGAAUCGCAUCCGACAUAAUUAUCCAUCACCUAUCCAAUGCCUAUGAGCUUUUCACAUAUUGUGCUUUGCUUAGUUACUUUACCAUUUCUACUAUUACAAUUACUACAAAACUGCUACUGUUACUUUUGCCAGUGUUGCCCUUACUUCCAUACUACUUUGCUACUAAAUACUUUGCUGCAGAUACUAAGUUAUCCAGGUGUGGUUGAAUUGUCAACUCAACUGCUAAUACUUGAGAAUAUUCUUUGGCUCCCCUUGUGUCGAAUCAAUAAAUUUGGGUUGAAUACUCUACCCUCGAAAACUGUUGCGAUCCCCUAUACUUGUGGGUUAUCAAGACUAUUUUCUGGCACCUUUGCCGGGGAGCAUAGCUCUAUUCUUUGAGUCACUUGGGAUUUAUAUCUGCUGAUCACUAUGAAGAACUUGAAAUACGAAAGAACUAAGAUUUAUCCCUCAACCACGAGGGGAGGUAAGGAACUGUCGUCUAGCUCUGCACUUGAUUCUCCUUCUUUUAUGAGUAAACAUGUGACACCUAAACCUUCUUCUGCUAAGAAUUCUGAUAUGUCGCAUGUUAUUGAUGAUGCCACUUUUGCUAUGGAUGAUACUUAUGAUGAAACUACUUCUAUGCUUGAUACUCCUGUGCCAUUAGGUGAAUUUCUUGAUGAACAACUUGCUAGGGCUAGGGAGAAUGAAAUUAUUGAAACUGAUAAUAUUGAUGAUAGGGAUGAUGAAGGUUCUCCCCCUAAAUAUGAAUUUCCUGUUGUUCCUAAGGGUUAUGUUAUGGAUGAAGAAACUGCUAGAGAUUUUCUUGCUUGCAAUGAUAGAUCAGAUCUUAAGAAAUUAUUAGCUAAGCUAAAAAAAAGUCUCUGAAUGCUAGAAUGAAACAUGACCCCACUUUUGCUACUUCACCUAUCUUUGUUACUGAUAAGGAUUAUGAUUUCUCUGUUGAUCCUGGGAUAAUUACUUUGGUUGAAUCUAAUCCUUUUUAUGGCAAUGAAUCUGAAAUUGUAGUGGCACAUCUUAGUAAGUUAAAUGAUAUAGCCACCAUGUUUACUAAUGAUGAGAAAUCUCGCUACUACUAUAUCCUUAAAAUAUUUCCUUUCUCAUUAAAGGGUGAUGCUAAAACAUGGUUUAAUUCUCUUGAUCCUGGUUGUGUGCGUAGUCCCCAGUAUAUGAUUUACUAUUUCUCUGCUAAAUAUUUCCCCGCUCAUAAGAAACAAGCUGCCUUAAGGGAGAUAUAUAAUUUUGUGCAAAUCAAAGAAGAGAGUCUCCCACAAGCUUGGGGGAGGCUUCUCCGAUUACUUAAUGCUUUGCCUGAUCAUCCUCUUAAGAAAAAUGAAAUACUUGAUAUCUUUUAUAAUGGACUAACCGAUGCUUCCAAAGACCACCUGGAUAGUUGUGCUAGUUGUGUUUUCAGGGAAAGGACAGUUGACCAAGCUGAAUUGCUAUUGAAUAAUAUGUUGACAAAUGAAAAUAAUUGGACACUUCCUGAACCAACUCCUAAGCCAACUCCGAAGAAAAGAGGUGUUCUAUUUCUCAGUCCUGAAGAUCUGCAAGAGGCAAAGAAAUCUAUGAAAGAGAAAGGUAUCAAAGCUGAAGAUGUUAAAAAUUUACCUCCUGUCGAAGAAAUACAUGGCCUUAAUAUACCACCGAUUAAAGAAAUGCAUGGUCUUGAUAACCCGACACAGGUAGUGAAGGUAAACUCUCUUUAUAGAUAUGAUAAAGUUGAAAUCCCGUCUACUAUGUUUGCUAGCCAAUGCUUGGAUGAAUUUGAUGACUUUAUGGCUAAACAAGAAAAUUUCAAUGCUUAUGUUAAUAGACAAUUGAAAAGUAAUUCUUAUAUGAUUGGACGCUUGAGUGAUUAUAUGUCUAGAGUUAAGGGUGAACUUAAACUUACUAGUAAACAUGCUUCGAUGGUUACCACUCAAGUAGAACAAGUGCUUAAGGCUCAGAAUGAAUUACUCAAUGAAUUAAAUGAUAAGAGAAAUGAUAAUGCUGCUAGAGUUAUGACUAGAGGUGGUAGAAUGACUCGGGAACCUUUGUAUCCUGAGGGCCACCCUAAGAGAAUUGAGCAAGAUUCUCAGGGAAAUAAUGCUGAUGCACCUGGUCCUUCUAAAAAGAAGAAAAAGAAAGAUGAUAGGACUUUGCAUGCUUCUAAUGAACCUGUUGUAGACAUACCUGAGAAUCCUAAUAAUAUCUCUAUCUCUGAUGCUGAAACACAAUCUAGUGAUGAAUAUCAACGUAGUGAUAAUGCUAAUAAUGAUGUUCAUGUAGAUGCUCAACCUAGCAAUAACAACGAUAUAGAAAUUGAACCUGCUGUUGAUCCUGAUAACCCACAAUUGAAGAAUCAACGUUAUGAUAAGAGAGACUUUGUUGCUAGGAAGCAUGGUAGAGAAAGAGAACCAUGGGUUCAGAAACCCAUGUCGUUCCCUCCUAAACCAUCCAAGAAAAAGGAUGAUGAGGAUUUUGAGCGCUUUGCUGAAAUGAUUAGACCUAUCUUUUUGCGUAUGCGUUUGACCGAUAUGCUUAAGACGAACCCUUAUGCUAAGUACAUGAAAGAUAUCAUUACAAAUAAAAGAAAGAUACCGGAAGCUGAAAUUUCCACCAUGCUUGCUAACUAUACUUUUAAGGGUGAAUACCUAAGAAACUCGGAGGUCCAGGAGUACCAACUAUACCGUGCUCCAUUAAAAGAAACAAUGUUAAAACUGAUUUAUGUGAUCUGGGAGCCGGUGUUAGUGUUAUGCCUCUUUCUUUAUAUCGUAGACUUGAAUUAAAUAAGUUGACCCCUACUGAAAUAUCUUUGCAAAUGGCCGAUAAAUCAACUACUAUACCUGUCGGUAUUUGUGAGGACGUGCAUGUUGUUGUUGCAAAUGUUACUAUCUUAACAUACUUUGUCAUUCUUGAUAUUCCCGAGGACGACAUUAUGUCGAUUAUCCUUGGUAGACCCUUUUUAAAUACAAUCGGUGCUGUUAUUGAUUGCAACAAAGGUAAUGUCAGCUUUCAUGUUAAUGGUAAUGAGCAUACGGUACACUUUCCGAGGAAACAACCUCAAGUUCACAGUAUAAAUUCUAUUGAAAAAAUUCCAUUAAUAAUUAUUCAAGGUUUUGAAUUUCCUCUUCCUACUGCAAAGAAGAAGUAUGAUAUUCUUAUUAUUGGGGAUGUUCAUUUCCCCGUUGAGGUAACCUAGUGUCAUUUCAAAAUUUCUCCGGUUUCAUGUGAUUCGGAAUGAGUUUGUUAACAAGACUUGAUCAACCUUGUUAGUGGAUUCCUUUUGAUGAGCAUGAGAUGGAUGAAGUUAGAAGACACAACUCUCUGUUCCUUGCUCUUACUUCCUGUUACUUCAAAUUAAUAAACUAAAAAUAGUAUAUUAUGUUUGUUUUCUGAAUUAUCCAUGCAAUAAAAAAUAUCCCGAAAAUAAAAGUUCUCCAAAUGCCUUGCCAAUUUAAUAUGAUUUUUAUAGAAUAUUUGAGAAUAUCUGGCAUUGAGAACACACCAGAGGGAGACAGCACCUAGCCAUGAGGGUCCAGGGCGCCCCCCUGGGGCACGCCCCUGCCUCGUGGGGCCCUGGUGGCCCUCCUCCACUUAUCCCUGCACCCAUGCUCUUGUUCUUCCUUCCAAAAAAAUCACCAACCAGCUCAAGCACGAGUUCUAGCUCAUUUUGCUACCAUUUUCGAUCUCCUUGCUCAAAGCUCCAUUCACAAAACUGCUUUGGGGGAUUGUUCUUUGGUAUGUGACUCCUCCAAUGGUCCAAUUAGUUUUUGUUCUAGUACUUUAUUCAUUGCAAAUUCUUGCUGCUAAGGUGACCCUGCUCUUGAGCUUGCAUGUCAAAUUUAGUUGGUCCCAAGUAGUUCUAAUGCAUGAUAUAGUCUCUAGGCACUUGUGGGAGUAGUUGCUAUCAAUCUUAUUGAGUUUGUUUUACUUUUGUUUUGAGUUACUAAAAAUUUCAGAAAAUUUUCAGAGAAAAAUGCAUAGAAAGUUGUAUCAAGGUGGUUUUUCAAGGAAGCAAGGACCGAGGCUCGCAAUACGUGAGCCAGACGAUGAACCACCUAGGGAAGCUUACGUGCGGCCUUGUGAAUGGCCGUUAGAAGAGUUCAUGGUUAGAGCAGGCAUUAAGGAUGAAUUUGAUGCAUAUGUGCGUAAUGCUGGUCUUGAGGAAUUCAUGCAAGAUAAGUGCCCUCAAUACCAAUAUUUAACUCAUUCAUUUGUGAGAAGGUUUAAAUUUACAUCUUUGCGUAAUUCUCACAAUGAUUGUGUUUGAUCUUUAUGAUAAAUCCUAUACCAUGGACUUAGAAGAUUUUACUACUGCUUGCAAACUCCCACAAUGGGGUAGUGCUAGUGAACCUCACAAAUCUGGAUUUAAAGAUUUUCUUGCUAGUAUCACUGUGGGGGAAUCCAGAUAAAUAGCACAAGCUACCAUAGGGAGCAUUCAUUUUCCCGCUAUACAUUAUUUUUCUCUCUUUAUAUGUAGAUGCAUAAAUGGUAAAGAGGAGGCAUGUCACAUGUGUGUUCCUGAUCUUAGUGUUCUCAGGAGUGCGGUGUUAGGAGAUAAGCAAUACAACCUGGGGGGCCAUCGUUGCACGUUGGUUGCAUAAUAAUGGUUUACUUGGAAACCUGUUUGGUGGAAUUUAUGCAACCUAUAUGGCUAAUUUCCCUGGGAUACCCAUACAUGAAAAUGAUAGAGAGUUGCUUACUGCUUAUCUAGAUUAUAAUGCCAUGGUUAACCAUCAGUUUCUUGAAAGGAAUGAACAAUCCCUCCAGUAUCGACUAAUCUUUGACAGACGUCGCGCUGUCCAUAUUACUCUCCCUGCUCCUGCUUUCUUUGACUAUCAGACAAAAGGAAGAUAUAUUAUAACCAGGGAGGAGGCGAACGAGUACGAGAGGGGGACGGAGGCAGCUCGCCGCCAGGCUGCCACUCGUGAGGCAAUGGCUGCUGCAUCUCAGUACGACCCCAGCUACAACUUCGGAUAUCCACCAGGCCAUCCUUGGGCAUAGACCAACUUAGGCCAAAGGCCUAAGCUUGGGGGAGUACGUAUUUCUCACUGGCAUUAAAUUCAUGUUCACACACGCUCAUUCUAGUUGUCGGUGCUCAUACUUUUUUGAUUGUACUAUCCAUGCUAGUUUAGUUUAUUUUCUAGCUUUCUUCUCGUGUGUUUAAAUAAUCUUAAGAAAAACAAAAAAAAUUAGUAAUAGCUUAGUUUAUUUUCCAUGCCUAUAGUACUAAUUAAAAGAAAACCCCAAAAGAUUUCUUGUUCUUCUUUUGCUUGUUGGGAGCUUGCCCGUGUAAAUAUUUUUAUUUCAUUUCUUUGGGGGUUGAAAGGAUAAGAUCUUAAUGAAAUUGUUGAGUGGAUCUUCUAUGCAUAAUUGAUUGAUUUAACCAAGAGCCCAUAUUAUCUUGUCUUCUCUCUUGAAUUGAAUGCUUGCAGAUUCCAGCUUAGUCCAAUGCACGUGCACUAUUAUUAUUAUCCGCACCGUUCGGUCGUGCAAGUGAAAGGCAAUAAUGAUGAUAUAUGAUGAAAUGAUUGAGAUAAGAGGAGCUGGUAUGAACUCGACCUAUCUUGUUUUUAUAAAUAUGAUUAGUUCAUCGUUCCUGAUUCAGCCUAUUAUGAAUAAAAAUGUUUGCAAUGACAAGUAGAGAUUAUAGUUGCUUAUGUCAUGCUUAAUUAGCUAGGAGUCUAUAAUGGUUUACCUUGUGUGCCAACAUGCUAUUAAAAUGGUUGUGAUGUGGUAUGAUAGGGUGGUAUCCUCCUUUGAAUGAUCCGAGUUACUCGACUUGGCACACGUUCACGCAUGUAGUUGAAACAAAAUCAACAUAGCCUUCACGAUAUUUAUGUUCAUGGUGGAUUAUAUCCUACUCAUGCUUGCACUCAGUGUCUAUUAAUUUUAAUGCAUGUUCAUGACUAUUGUCGCUCUCUAGUUGGUCGCUUCCCAGUCUUUUUCUAGCCUUCACUUGUACUAAGCGGGAAUACUGCUUGUGCAUCCACUUCCAUAAAUCCCAAAGUUAUUCCAUAUGAGUCCACCAUACCUUCCUAUAUACGGUAUCUACCUACCAUUCCAAGUAAAUUUGUAUGUGCCAAACUCUAAACCUUCAAAUGAAAUUUUGUUUCAUAUACUUGAACAACUCAUGUAUCAAUUGGGGCUGUCUGUAUCUUCCAUGCUAGGCGGGUUAUUCUCAAGAGGAGUGGACUCCGCUCCUCACUCACGAGAAAAUGGCUGGUCACCGGGAUGCCUAGUCCCAUGCUCAAAUAAAAUCAAAAUAAUUGCAAACAAAACUCCUCUAGGAUUGUUGUUAGUUGGAGGCACCCGUUGUUUCGGGAAAGCCAUGGAUUGAUGCUUGUUGGUGGAGGGGGAGUAUAAACUUUACCAUUCUGUUUGGAAACCGCCUAUAAUGUGUGUAGCAUGGAAGAUAUCAAGAUCUCUUGGUUGUUAUGUUCACAAUGAAAGUAUACCACCCAAAAUAUUAUUAUCUCUGUUUCAAAAAUCGAGCUCUGGCACCUCUACACAUCCCUGCUUCCCUUUGCGAAGGGCCUAUCUAUUUACUUUUUUGUUGAGUCAUCACCGUCUUAUUUAAAAGCACCAGUUGGAGAGCACCUCUGUCAUUUGCUUGCAUUACUAUUAGUUUAUAUUGGGUAUGACUAUGACUGGAUCUCUUUUACCAUGAAUUACAAUGUUUAGUCAGUCCUUGAUCUUUAAAGGUGAUCUGCAUUUAUGUUUUGUGGUCUCAGAAAGGGCUAGCAAGAUACCAUCUUGUUAUAUCAUAUUAUGAUUGUUUUGAGAAAGUGUUGUCAUCCGAGUUUUAUUAUUAUUUCCCGCUAGUUGAUCAUGCCAUUGAUAUGAGUAAACAUGAGACCUAAGUGUUAUUGUGAAUAUGGUUAGUUCAUAAUCCUUGCUGAAAACUUGAAUGAUGGCUUUACAUAUUUACAACAACAAGAGCAAACAGAGUUUGCAAAAGUUUUUCUUUAUCACAUUCAGUUUAUCAACUGAAUUGAUUGAGGACAACCGAAGGUUUAAGCUUGGGGGAGUUGAUAUGUCCCCGUCGUAUCUACUUUUCCAAACACUUUUGCCCUUGUUUUGGACUCUAACUUGCAUGAUUUGAAUGGAACUAACCCGGACUAAUGCUAUUUUCAGCAGAACUGCCACGGUCUUAUUUUUCUGCAGAAAUAGAAGUUCUCGGAAUGACCUGAAACUCCACGAAAUUUACUUUUGGAUUUAAUAUAAAAUACUGGCGAAAGAAUCAAGGCUAGGGGGCCCACACUCUGUCCACGAAGGUGGGAGGCGCGCCCCCCUAGGGUGCGCCCCCCUCUCUCGUGGCCCCCCUGGUGCUCCACCGGCCUCAACUCCAACUCCAUAUAUUCACGUUCGGGGAGAAAAAACCCAGAGAAAAAGAUUCAUUGUGUUUUACGAUACGGAGCCGCCGCCAAGCCCUAAACUCUCUCGGGAGGGCUGGUCUGGAGUCUGUUCGGGGAUCCAGAGAGGGGAAUCCAUUGCCGUCAUCAUCAUCAACCAUCCUCCAUCACCAAUUUCAUGAUGCUCAUCGCCAUGCAUGAGUAAUUCCAUCGUAGGCUUAUUGGACGGUGAUGGGUUGGAUGAGAUUUACCAUGUAAUCAAGUUAGUUUUGUUAGGGUUUGAUCCCUAGUAUCCACUAUGUUCUGAGAUUGAUGUUGCUAUGACUUUGCUAUGCUUAAUGCUUGUCACUAGGGCCCGAGUGCCAUGAUUUCAGAUUUGAACCUAUUAUGUUUUCAUGAAUAUAUGUGAGUUCUUGAUCCUAUCUUGCAAGUCUAUAGUCACCUAUUAUGUGUUAUGAUCCGACAACCCCGAAGUGACAAUAAACGAGAUACUUCUCGGUGAUGCCCGUAGUUUGAGGAGUUCAUGUAUUCACUAAGUGCUAAUGCUUUGGUCCGGUACCCUAUUAAAAGGAGGCCUUAAUAUCCCUUAGUUUCCAUUAGGACCCCGCUGCCACGGCAGGGUAGGACAAAAGAUGUCAUGCAAGUUCUUUUCCAUAAGCAUGUAUGACUAUAUUCGGAAUACAUGCCUACAUUACAUUGAUGAACUGGAGCUAGUUCUGUGUCACCCUAUGUUAUACCUAUUACAUGAGGAAUCGCAUCCGACAUAAUUAUCCAUCACAUAUCCAAUGCCUACGACCUUUUCACAUAUUGUGCUUUGCUUAGUUACUUUAUCGUUCCUAUUGUUACAAUUACUACAAAACUGCUACUAUUACUUUUGCCACUGUUACCGUUACGUCCAUACUACUUUGCUACUAAAUACUUUGCUGCGGAUACUAAGUUAUCCAGGUGUGGUUGAAUUGAAAACUCAACUGCUAAUACUUGAGAAUAUUCUUUGGCUCCCUUGUGUCAAAUAAAUAAAUUUGGGUUUAAUACUCUACCCUCGAAAACUGUUGCCAUCCCCUAUACUUGUGGGUCGUCAUACGUCUCCCACUACAAAAAACAGACACAUCCGUGACAUUUUGGGCCGAACGAAAUUUUUUUCUGGCAUACAUAUGACACUUCUAUGACGAUAAUUGUGAAAAAACCCGGUAUCAUCAUAGAUGUGGUGGGCUCCUACUUCUAUGACAAAAAAUCAUGACAGAAAAUGGGCUUUUCGUCCUGGGCGGGCCGGAGACGCAGCUGCAUGACAUUCUUUGGGCCUUCCAUGACGGAAAAAACCAUGGUAGAAGCGAGGGGGAGGAAAAUUUCAGGGAGUUGCCGGUUACGGUGGGAGGUCGGGGCCGAGCGAUGCACGUUUCUCUCGUACAUGUACGCGCGUGUGUGCGAGGCGUUGGCUCUAACUGAACCCGAGUGAGGCGUUGGGCUCUAACUGAACCCGAGCGAUUGCACUGCAGGCUACGCGUUACUGAACCAGAGCGAUCGAUCGAUGGCUGUUAACUGAACCCGAUGGAGCGAUUCCUUCGCUACUGCUGCUAACNNNNNNNNNNNNNNNNNNNNNNNNNNNNNNNNNNNNNNNNNNNNNNNNNNNNNNNNNNNNNNNNNNNNNNNNNNNNNNNNNNNNNNNNNNNNNNNNNNNNNNNNNNNNNNNNNNNNNNNNNNNNNNNNNNNNNNNNNNNNNNNNNNNNNNNNNNNNNNNNNNNNNNNNNNNNNNNNNNNNNNNNNNNNNNNNNNNNNNNNNNNNNNNNNNNNNNNNNNNNNNNNNNNNNNNNNNNNNNNNNNNNNNNNNNNNNNNNNNNNNNNNNNNNNNNNNNNNNNNNNNNNNNNNNNNNNNNNNNNNNNNNNNNNNNNNNNNNNNNNNNNNNNNNNNNNNNNNNNNNNNNNNNNNNNNNNNNNNNNNNNNNNNNNNNNNNNNNNNNNNNNNNNNNNNNNNNNNNNNNNNNNNNNNNNNNNNNNNNNNNNNNNNNNNNNNNNNNNNNNNNNNNNNNNNNNNNNNNNNNNNNNNNNNNNNNNNNNNNNNNNNNNNNNNNNNNNNNNNNNNNNNNNNNNNNNNNNNNNNNNNNNNNNNNNNNNNNNNNNNNNNNNNNNNNNNNNNNNNNNNNNNNNNNNNNNNNNNNNNNNNNNNNNNNNNNNNNNNNNNNNNNNNNNNNNNNNNNNNNNNNNNNNNNNNNNNNNNNNNNNNNNNNNNNNNNNNNNNNNNNNNNNNNNNNNNUGAACAAUAUUCCGUGGAGUCCCGUUUUGCGGUACGCCACACCCCUCCCGAUGAACAUGACCGCCGUUUCGACCGUAGGAGGUCCGUUUCCUCCGUUUUGCGGUAUGCCACACCCCUCCCGAUGAACAAGACCCCCGUUUCGACCAUAGGAGGUCCGUUUCCUCCGUUUUGUGGUACGCGACACCCCUCCCAAUCAACAGGACCCCCGUUUCGACCGUAGGAGGUCCGUUUCCUCCGUUUUGCGGUACCCCACACCCCUCCCGAUCAACAGGACCCCGUUCCGAACGUGGCCGGUCGAACACAAGGCCGUAUCCUCCAUUCUGCGGUACGCCAGGCCUCGUUUCCAUCGCCUGCUCCGUCCAAGCCGGUUGGCUCCCACGCGUUCCGUUGCCUCCCGAUGAACACGACGCAUUCCGUUGCCUCCCCAUGAACAUGAUGCAUUCCAUUGCCUCCCCAUGAACACGAGCCCUCGCCAUAUGUAUGCGCGACUAAGCAUUCGAGACCCCGCCCAUAUGUACACAUAUGUGGCCGUAUUUUCUUUCUUGCACCCUGGCUGCUGUAUGUACAUGUACAUGCUACGUGCGUGCCUAUACUACGACACGUGCGCGCCUCUACUACGACAUGUGCGCGCCUCUACAUCGACCAGUAUGUACGUACACGUUCGUGACCAGGAUGACAACACUACGUACGCUUCGACCAGGUGGGUCCCGACUGUCAGACACUUCCUUGCCUGCGAAGAUGUAGCUGGUGGGUCCCAGCAGUCAGGGGGGCGAAUCGUUUUGUUUUUAUUUUUUUUGCCCGGACGCACUUCCUUGCGUGCGAAGGUGUAGCUGCUGGGUCCCAGCAGUUAGGGGGGCGAAUCAUUUUUUUUGCCCGGACGCACUUCCUUGCGUGCGAAGGUGUNNNNNNNNNNNNNNNNNNNNNNNNNNNNNNNNNNNNNNNNNNNNNNNNNNNNNNNNNNNNNNNNNNNNNNNNNNNNNNNNNNNNNNNNNNNNNNNNNNNNNNNNNNNNNNNNNNNNNNNNNNNNNNNNNNNNNNNNNNNNNNNNNNNNNNNNNNNNNNNNNNNNNNNNNNNNNNNNNNNNNNNGAAGGUGUAGCUGGUGGGUCCCAGCAGUCGGGGGGCGAAUCGUUUUUUGGGACGAACUUCCUUGCGUGCGAAGAUGUAGCUGGUGGGUCCCAACAGUCAGGGGGGCGAAUCGUUUUUUUUUUCGGACGCACUUCCUUGCGUGCGAAGAUGUAGCUCGUGGGUCCCAACAGUCAGGGGGCCAAUCAUUUUUUUCGCGAAAUACGGUGGCCCAUCCGGUGGGUCCAUGUUGUCAGGUGGAGGAAUAAUUAUUUUGCGCGUAAUAAGGAAGCACUUCCUUGCGGCCGCCGUUGACCCAACUGUCAGCCUCUCCAUGUAUAGUCCACGUCCGAUGGAAGUCGUUCCUUGACCACGUUGACCACGCCGCGCCGAGAACACCACGGCGGUGGACGACGGCGAGGCCUAGUAAGGGGACGACGAGGAGCCAGGGAAGACGCGGCAGUGGAUGCACACGCGGAGAGGAGUACAAGGGUUCACUGGUUCGGCUGUGCUACCAUCGCCGCAGAAUAACAGGGGGUGUGGGUGAGUGGAGGGAUGGCCUGGCCAGCGGUGGGAGUAGUAUGGGGCGGUGAGGCCUCCGCGGCAGCACAGCCGUCCAUGGGAGGCAGGAGCAGGCGACACGACCGGCGCUGCUUUGGGCGGCUGGAGCAAGAAGACCAGAGGUUGAAGAAGCACGAUGGCCGUUGGAUGGACAUCGUACGGUCACUGCAGCUAGAAUCUUUUAAUAUUGACUAAGUUGACAAAGCCCUUGGUACAUCAACUUAGUAGGACCACAGGUCAGCUUCCGAAACGGUGCGCCCCAGAUGUCUGGGGGAGGAAUCAUUUUUUGGGCGGGUGAAGCUAGAAUAUCCGAGAUUGAAGAAGAAGCACGGCAUCCGUUGGAUGGACAUCCAACGGCCACUGGUGCUAGAACCGUGUGUUGACUAUAAGUUGACAAAGCCUUGCAUACGCGUCAACUCUGUUUUUUUAGGGGACGCGUCCACUUAGUAAGGCCAGAAGUGUGUGGCAGAGAACUUAUAGCCCAUUUGAGAUUUGUAAGAAUGUGUAGCCCAUUUUUGAAUUCUAAUGGAAUUUACUACAGCCCAUUUAUAGUUUGUUAAAAGUACAGCCCAUUUCAACCAACCGUUCAAAACAGGAUUCAAUAAAAUUUCCCACAUUUUGAUGGGAUCCGAAUAUUUUUAUCCCGAAAUUCCUAGUCAGAUUAAAUACAAUUUCAAUAUGAAUUUAUAUUACGUAAAAAUCCAACGAAACAUUGAGCUCGCAACAAUUAAUGAAAUUAAAAUUUUCAAUAUUCCAAAAAUAAUAUUUUAUAAAGUAAUCACUGUAUGGUGCCUUUUUUUAUAGUUACUACCCAAUUUUUAAUAAUUACAUCCCAUUUAUUAUUUCUUAAAGCCCAUUUUCUUGUUAAGCCUAAUGCAUCCCUCCUAGGAAAGAUUUGCAGCCCAGCGGGGCGGAGAAUAACAACUUGACCUUGCCUGGGUAUUCCUCAAAAAAAGUAUAGCUGGGCUAGCUAUUUUCAGUUUGAAAAAAAUUAAUAUCUGGGCUGGAUAUCUGGCCUGGGCUAGACGGGCCACAACCCGCCUAGUUAAUACCUGCAGCGAUGUUUUUGUUGUUGUUCAUAGGAGAAAAAAUAAUAUCUGGGGUAAACAUCGAAAAACUCUGUAGUGCUCACACCUCAAAAACACAAAUACUGCUCGAGCUGCUUGGUCCCAGCUGUCGGCCGCUUCUUGUGCAAUUCUCUCGUUUAUUGACUACUCCCUCCUUUCUGGUUUAUAAUGCUCAAUUCAAAAAUCUCACCAAUCAAGGUAGAUGGCGAGUGGUGGAAUACUUUUUGUAGUUUUGCAAAAGCACCUAAUUAAUGCUCUUGUUAUCCUCAAAAAAUUAUGUUUAUCAACGCAUUAAUUGCAAUGCAUGCAUGCAUAAAGUACAUGCAUUGGUCAAUUUUCUCUUAAUACUUGCAUGCAAUGAUUUAAUGCACCUUGGAAUCUGAACAUGUGAUGGAAAACAACCAAAUUGAGCCUUAUAAAAUGGAAAAACUAAAAUUUUGAGAUAAGCCCUAUAAACCGGAAAGGAGGGAGUACAUAGGUUGACAAUGGUGUGGGACCGUGAUGUCAGGAAAUCAGGAGGAAGCAAAAUAAAUUAUAGUUAUAUAUAUAUAUAUAUAUAUAAUAAGGAGGCACUUGCGUACGUGAGGCUAUGGACCUGGUGGGUCCCCAUUGUCAUCCUAUCCAAGUAAAGUCAUCUCCUCGCCCGCGCGCGCUUUCUGCCCGAAACAGUCAGUGCCGGCCGCCCCGCUUCCCGGUGCAGGCGAUUGCUCCACCUUCAAACGACACAAGUGCCGUCCGUCCGUCCAUCUGCCGCACACAUUAAUGAUAUGCCAUUGCCGAGGCGGCUACUCCGGCGCCACACGUCCGUUCCUCCGCCCGCCCACCAUUGCUAUAUAAACUGCUGCGCCGGCCAUAGCCAUAGUCAUCCUCAUCUGUUCCCUUUCUCCUGUCCACACCACUACUGCCCACCAUGGCUUCCUCGCGCUCCAGCGCUCUUCGGGACGGGCGGACGACAGACCACAAGGAGAUGGCAGCCAUUGCCGCCGACCGGCUGGCCGACAGGCAGCCGGAGGACGACGACGUCCCAAUGGAGAACAUGGUAGUCGACAAUCUGGCGCCAACCCCCUCCUCCGCGCCAUCCUCGCCGGUGCAUUCCACCAUAACCAUAGCCGAGGCCCGUGCCCAAUAUAUGGAUAGGGUGAGGCAGAUGCGUGAGGAGCAGUUCCGGGAGGCGCAAGCCGACGCCGCCUAGAACCACUAUCUCCUCCAGGAGCACCUGCAGGCGGAGGAGCAGAUCGCCGUGGAGCGGGCGGAGCAGGAGGCGCUGCUCGACUCGUACUGCUCCGCCCGCAAGGGCCGCCUCGAUCGCUGGCGGUACCGCAUGCGGGCGGCGGCUGCGGCCGCCUACAAAUAGACUAGCAAAGAGGGCGAUGAAGCAGGCGAGGCACUGUUUGGCGAGACCGAGGACGAGGCAGAGGACAAUGCCGGCUCCGACGAGUCCCCGCUCCGCUGGCAUCAACGACGCCCUGCUCCACCGAGGCCCCGUGGUGCCAACAACAAGGCAAAGGACACCGCCGGCUCCGCUGAGGCCCCGCCCCGCCAACAACGAGGUAGAGGACAUCGCCGGCUCAGCCAAGGCCCCACGCUGCCGGCAACGUGGGGGAGGAUUUCCACCGCUUCGCUGAGGCGCCGCCCGCCGACAAUGAGACAGAGGACAUCGCCGGCUCCGCCGAGGCCCCGCCCCGCUGCCAACGAGGCCGCGCCACACAGAAAAUGAUGAAGAGUACAGUAGGUCGCCGCCGCUCGGGUCCAAGUAAGGCCACCGCUGCUACCCUCCGGUUGAAGCCAAGUUAGGCGGGUUGACCAUUGACGGCCAAUUAGCUUCUUGGCAGCGACGUGGAGUCGGAGACCUGCACUGGAGAAGAACACUGCUUCUACUUAACUGCUGGUGCAUUUGGCUGACUGACACGUGGGCCUAACAGGCCACAUGUCAGUUACGCAACUGAACCUGCAGUUAAGUCACUCAAGCUUCUGUUCGUCUCAGCGGGACAUAGGUGGGUAGCUUCUGUUAAUUAAUUAUACCUCCAGUGCACCCCUUUUUAGUUUUUUUAGAAAAGGAGGAUGACCCCCGGCCUCUGCAUCUGGGAGAUGCAUGCAGCCACAAACACCCCUUUUUAGUUGAAGAAUGUAUGAAAUGUAAUUAAAUCUGGCAUGUUUAUAUGAAAUCCGACCAUGUAUGAAUGAAUUUAUUUCGAUUAGUUCGAAUUCCUGUAUCCCUGGCAUUGGAUGAACAUGCAAAACAAUACGUACUAGCAUUAUUCCUAGGGUGAUCAACUCGUUUGCAACAGUUUCACAUGUACUCCCUCCAGUCCUUUCUAUACAUGUUUUGUCUGCAGUCAAAGUAUCUCUACUUUGACCAUUCUUAUACAAAAAAGUAUGCACUUUCACAAUGUGCAAAGUAAAAAGGAACAGAAGGAGUACAAAGAGUUUGAGCAGCUUUUUAGCGUUUCUAUACAUUGCAAUCAAACACACAGGGCUGACAAUUCAUAGAGAACAUUCAAAACAAUCGAUGAUUAUGCAUCUCAGCGACUCACAUGUUAGAGGCAAUAUUUACUUCACAACUAAAGAAUAAAGAAAAAAUUGAUUGACGCUGCUGACAGCAAGGGCGUCCCAUUCGAAAAUAUCAAACGCAUGUCUUAAAAUCAAUGAGAAAAAUUUGACAAGGUUGUCCCAUUCCAAAAUAUCAAAUGCCUACGAUUCUGGAAUGGGCAGGGUUUGCCAUCAGUUAGGACAUUGACAUGGCACCUCGUGCUAAAUAAACCAACUGUUCUUUUUGUGCAGUUCCACCAAAAUCAACCAAAUUCACGUGUAGCUUGUAUGAUUUUUCCCUUAUAUGUUGCAACACCUUGAACUUAUCGGCACCUCCUUUCUUGUGGUGGAAAUGAAUGAUUCAAUGUAUCCAUGAACAUUUUGUGCAGUUCCCAUUGAAAUCAAGCUGAUCACCCCUGUUUGCACAAAUACAAAAAAAGUUAUUAGUAUAAAGAAAAAUGUACUAUGAAUUGACAGUUUAAAUAGGCACCUUCAUGGUCCAUGUAGAGCACACAUUUUUAGAAAAAUGGAACUCACCAGAAAGAAUCCUAGAACAACAUUGUACUCGCGCAUCACAACAAAAAAAUGGAGAUUUGUCAGUCCUUCCAAGCUGAAGUUAGUUUGGUCUUGUGGGGAGUAAUGUAACCAUCCUUCAACUGCUCCUUCUGAUGAGAAUCCUAGAACAACAUUGUACUCGCGCAUCACAGCAAAAAAAUGGGGAUUUGUCAGUACUUUUGAGCUGAAGUUAGUUUGGCCUUGUGGGGAGUAAUGUAACCAUCCUUCAACUACUCCUUCUGAUGAGAAGAUAGACAUGGCUUCUUCAUCCUGGCAUAAUCGAAACUAGUCACUUCACGUACUCCAUAUUCUUCUUCAGAGGAAGAUGAUCCUAUUGUGCAAAGACAAGAGGACAACUAAAUGCUAGCAUCCCUAUUUGCUCGAAAAAAAGGAAAGGAAAUAUUUAAAACAACACAGAUGAAGCACUUCUCAAGGACAAUACCACUUUUUCAUGACAGUAUCUAAAUAGUAGCACAACGCCAAUAGAGAUGACAAAGCUCAAUCAUAUGGAUGAAUUAGUGGGCGAGUACCAACCUUUGUCAGCAGCCUUAUUGUGUAGAGCAUACAGAUCAAGCACUUCUCCAGAACCAUCUGUUGCUAUCUACUAUGGUGGCCAUGCUUACUAUAUACUCCUCGAUUAGUUUAAUGUUUCCAACAUCUUUUUGUGCAGUUCCACUAAAAUAUAUGGUAUCUUCAAAGAAGAUCCCUGUUUGCACAAGUAGAGAUAAUUACGUAUGGCAUCAAAUCAGUGGCAAAACAAUUGCUCGUUCCAGCCAUAGCAAUAAAUUAAGAUGCAAAACUAUAUCAUUACUUGUGUCAUCACAGUUCGAGUGCUUCAUUACAACACCGGGAGUUGAUUUUUGUUUUUCUUCCGCUUGUUCUUCCCCUUCAUCACUUGGUUCAAUAACAGACAAGCUUCGCCUUCAAUGUAAGAUUUGGCAUCUCAAUUAGGGAGCACAAGUAUAGUACUAAACUUAAUUUUCUGAUGAAAUUGGCAAAAUACAGGCCAUCAGUUGUGAAAUAUCCUUAUCUUACCUCAAUGGGAUAUUACGGUGCACAUACAAAUUGGAAGUCUUGUCUCCAUUUGUGCAGUUCACUGAAAUCAAGCAACAUUAUCGUACAAGUAGCACAACAUAUGAAAGCAGACUGCAGAAUCAUGUGAAAGAAGGCUAGUACUGACCUCUCAUGAUGCGGAAUUCAAACAACUCACAAGAAGAAGAUCUGAACCAAAUUCGCCUUAACGGAUAGGAAGUAAGAUCUUCUCUUGUGCAGUUCCACUAAGAUCAAGCAAUCAAGCAACAUUGUCGGUGUGACAUUUUGGUUGAACUGCACAAAACACUCUUAAAACAAAAGUGUUUUGUGCAGUGCAACAAAAGGUCACAAUGGCAACGAGGUGAAGUAGAUAACCCUAUUUACACAGCGGUGCAAAGGAAACAAUUAGUAGUCAAUAACGGUGGAUGAAACAGAAGCCAACAAAAAGAAGCAUCUACCUUAUCUAAAUGGGAAAGAAAGCAAGACAGUAGCAUUUCUCAAAUGGUGGCAUUGAUUAAUAUUAACAUAGAGAUUAUAUUAACAAUAAAAUUCGUUAAACAUGCAAUUUGCUUUUAACUGUGGCAUUGCAUCAAUUUUCCUGUGGCAUUAUUAGAAGGUGUUUGUUUACAGGGACAUUUUGGUGUAGGGACUAUAAAAACUCCGUGUCUGUCACAUCUAAACCAAACAGGAGGGACUUCCCGGGACUAAAAGUGGGCAUUUGGGACUAAAGAAAGAAGACCCGAGGGAGUCCUUUUUGGGACUUUUUCCAACAGUUGCCCCUGCCACGCAUCGCACCUUGUUUCUAUUAGUUCAUUACUAGGGGUAACAUGGUCUUUUAUCAUGUCAUUUAAUAACCUCUAGUCCAUGUUUAGUCCCUGGAACCAAGCAGGUAGGGACUAGGGAGUUUUUAACCAAACAGGGCCUUAGAUUAACAAUAGCUAAUGAGUUGCACGGGACAGUGGACGCACCAACACCAUGUGCAUCUACCGAUGUACUGUGGUCAUGCACAAUCUGUUGCAACAAAGAACAAACAACCAAGGAGCAUAUUUGUGUUGGUCCAGUUUUGUUAUCUUUAGACACCUUUCCCUAUGUGAGCGCAGCAAAUGUAGUCCUGCUAAAACUCUAUAGCCUUGUCCCUUCCUUUCCUUUUUGAACUAGUACUUUCGCCCCUUCCUUUCCUCUUUGAACCAUGUCCUAGAUUUAUGCGAUACAACUUUCCCCACUACUUUCCCCCAUUCCUUUCCUCUUUGAACCACGUCCUAGAUUCAUGCUAUACAACUUUCACCCUUCAUUUCCUCUUUGAACCACGUCCUAGAUUCAUGCUAUAUACAACUUUUCCCACUACUUGCCCCCACUCCUUUCCUCUUUGAACCACGUCCUAGAUUCAUGGUAUACAUGCAGCUAGAGCAAUGCAUGUGGAGUAAGUAAAAUAUACCUUAAGGUUCUUGGGGCGUGGUUCGGUGGGUGACGGGACGGUGGCGAAGAAGAAGGGGUCGGAGGCCCUCCCGCGCCGCCGCUGGGUGGAAAGUGAACAGCAGCGCCGGUAGUGGAUUCCCUCCCUCACCGACAGCGACAGUGUUAAGCCUCCUUCCCUUCCCGGCGAACGGAUCCUGCCGGCUCUUUGAGCAGCAGUGAGGGGAGAGAGAGGCCAACGAAGUCUUGUUUAGAUCUGGAGAGGGCGAGAGAGUGUGAAGAGAGCAACUACAAGCGCUGAGGCUCUAGCGUGUAUAUAUAUACUGGAGAGAGAGUGUGAAGCGUGCAAACCCUAGAAAACAUUUUGACCAGUCAAAGAAUCCUCCUGGCAAAAAUUAUGCUCAAGUGUAGUUAUCGAACCCGAGACCUCAAGUUUGAUGAGCGAACAGGCUAACCAGCUACACAACCCUCCCGUUAUGUUCAAUGAGAGGAAAAUGACCUUUUAUACAUUCCUGCAUUCGUGUGACAUGCAUGCCGUGUUUUUUUUGUGUGCGUGGGAGUCAUUAGGAUUUCAAUCAUAAUCGUGUCAUGUGGCUUUGGUGGUAAGACUAUCCACAGUGAUGCAGAAAUAAUGCAGCCUUAGUCACCUUACUUCUCUCCACCUAGUAUGUUGGGUCCCACCAGUCAGAGGGUGAAACAAACAAAUUAAUAAGAAAAAUUAAAAUCGCCAGUGGUGUAUUUUACUACCUCACACAUCUCGCUACUGCUCGGGAACACUGUCUAACUGAUCCCUCUGUUCGCCCACGUACUAUUUUAAGUGAAUCCUUAUUAUAACAUGCACACAAAUUUUGGGCACUUGUAUUCGACUUAAGUCAGUGUGCCACCGUAUCUCGUAUACUUACUACUCCCUCCAUCUAGGUGUAAUAAUUCACGUUAGAAGGUGCAACAGGACCAAGGGGUGUGUGUGUGCGUGUGUGUGUUUAACAACAUGUGUGUGUUAGAGAGUGCGACAGAUCGACCUACUCCUACAGAGAUAUGGUGUGUAGUGUAUGAUUUUAGCCGCGAGAGUCGGUGCAUCCUCUCGUUUCCGGGCGUGUCCAGUAGGGACAUGCGGAUAGCUGCCAUGCCCGCUCCUAACCAGCCUGGCCCACCCAAAGCCCCUCCAUCACCCGCGCAUGCUUCCCCCCCUAAACGGUCAGCGCCGCUCCAAAGAAUCGGUGCCGCAUUCAUGCCACGGCAGAGCGGACGCGACCUCUCACUGGCGCAAGAGUGAUGGUUGCUUUGUCUGUCCAACUUACUGCUGGGUCUAUGUGAUUUGACGGCUCAUUGGUCUUUAUUACUGACGUGGUAGGACUGCUGGAUGUCCCACACUUUCGGCAAAAGGAGGUAGUAGAUUACAAUUUUCUCCAUUCUUACAGCGGAGGAGUGCAAGAGCAGUGAAAACAUGCAGGCUCAGUGAUUACAUGGCCCACCUCACACUAUCACCGUGCGACACCUAACUCUUUACAUAGUACUCCCUCCGUUCCUAAAUAUUACUAGAUGAGUCCCCGCGCGUUCCACGGAACAGCGGUAUAUAUCUCUGCGCAAAAUUAUCGGUUUCAUAGAACUAAAAAAAUCUAUAACCGCAUGACAAAUGUGGUAGCCAAACUAAAUAAACUCCCAUCAUCAUUUAGAUCAUCCCACAUAAGGAAAAAAGAUCAGCCAACUCCUACUGCAUAAUGGGAUUAUAUUUUUCUUUUUGUCAUGUUAAUGGGACUUAAAAGCUCACUUACAUGCAUGCUACCGGUGCAUGCUUGCAUGCAGACAUGUUGAUGUGAUUUAAAACCCACUCACAUGCAUGUGCCACGGUAUUUCUAUAUGCUUGCAUGUGGCUUAGUGCGAAGCCUCUCAACGUCUAAAUCAGACGGCUAUUAUGACUGAUUUACUUCAUCUAACGGCUACGUCAAUUUUGAUGAUGUGGCUCAAGGAGAGGAUAGAGAAUUUCUAGUAGUGGGGGCUAGCUAUUACUAGUAGAUAAGUCUUUGUAGAGAUUCCACUAGGUGAACUACAUACGGAACAAAAUGAAUGAAUCUACACUUAAAAUGCAUCUUUAUACAUCUGCAUGUGGUUAAUGGUGAAAUCUCUACAAAGACUUAUAUUUAGGAAUGGAGGAAGUACUAGUAUAGUACUAGUACGUACUGUAAUUUAUCAGUGAGAUAAAUUUGUACAAUGCUAUGAAGCAUCCAACUCCUGUUACAUGUAUCUUGCGUCCAAGGUUGCUCAUUGCAACAUUUCAUCAAAUACAAAGGAGACUAACAUGCAUGCUAUUGCAUCUCAAUGAUUGACAGAUCAUAGCAAAUAUGUACUCCCUCUGUUCCAAAAUAAGUGUCUCAACUUUGUGCAAACUUUAGUACAAAGUUGUACUACUACUAAAGUUGACACUUAUUUUGGAACAGAGGUAGCUAAAGAAAAAAACGAUCCAUGCAGUCCCUAGCCCUUGAACCGUGAACCCUGACCAGGCUUCAUUUUGCUGGCAAUGUUCGAGCUGCCUAAUAAAUGAAGUUUGCAACCUUUUGACCAUCGGUUCAUUUUGUGCAGUUUCACCAAAAUCGAGAUGAGCAUCCCUGUGGCAAAGAAAUUGGAGAAGCGUGAUUAGAAUAAGAUUACUAGGACUAGUUGAUGAGACAUAAACUCAUCAUAAAUAUAGUACGUAGAAGCCAGCAGAGGUAUCAGGUAUGUGUGGGGCAAAGAAGUAGAGAAAUAUCCAUAGGGAGUGAUGUGGGCAGCUGGAGCAGUGGUGCAAGCCGGCUGUAAAGGGAGUUGUACUUGAGGGACGUAGCUCAACCUUGAGGAGGGCGGCGGGAGGCGGCAACUGCCCACAUCGUGGCAGUGAGCAAGGGACGAAGGUAACCUCACUGGCUUUGUGAGAGAGAACGGCGGGGACCCCUGAUCGGGACAUGCCGACAGUGGGUUUUCGCCGUCGGCGUCGGCCACCGCAUCUACACUAAGCAUCCACCCUUUCCCCAAGCGGACAUGAUCUGCCGGGAUGUUAGAGAUGUGGCCACAGUCGUUUUGUGCGAGAGAGUGUGAAGAGAGAAACCCCAGCAAGCAACCGUGUAGGCUGGCCCGUCCUGACUAUGUAUAUAGUGGAGCGGUUUCCUUUUCGAACCUAUCAUAUUGCGUACGUGCCACUGAAGAAAAAAAAUAUAUUUAUAAAUGACGCGGCACAUACUACUCGUUCUCCUAUAACCUUGCACUUGGCAUCUCCAAAAUAUUAACCUUGCGAUUGGCUCUUUGCCUCUUCGGGAAGUCGAGCAAUAAUGGUAGUGCAGUAUAUAUCUUUCUGGCUAUAUGAGACCGAAUGAAUUGUUGCACGUCCACCACGUGGGCGAGGGCCGAGGGGCGAGGGAGAGUGCUACUACAUAUGGAGCAAAAUGAGUGAAUGUACACUCUAAAAUACGUCUGAAACGGUUCAAAACCUAUACUCCCUUGCCAGCGCGCGCUUCCUGCGUGAAACGGUCAGCGUCACCCUGGAGCGUCAGUGUCGCAUUAAUGCCCGGCCAGAGCGGAGGCGACCUCUCAUUGGCGCCGGCUUGGAAGUGGUGCGACGGCCGAGAGAGCACCGCUUCCCGGUGCACGCGACUGCUCCGAGUCGAGACUGGCCAUAGGCCCUGUUUGGAUCCAUGGGUUAUUAGAGUUAGUUUGAGCUAGUUGGGGCUCAAAUAUCCCUAAAGUAUCCAAGCAUGAGGGUUUAAAUUGGAGCAAGUUGCACUGAACCCACCAAAAAAAAC